RNAcentral lists this long non-coding RNA (83855 nucleotides) under Lactuca sativa (garden lettuce). RNAcentral's name for it is "long non-coding RNA (LSAT_LNC005562)". The record is from RNAcentral. Lineage: Eukaryota; Viridiplantae; Streptophyta; Magnoliopsida; Asterales; Asteraceae.
CUUAGCUACCCAUGUUUUACGUAACAAUAUAUUUGAGCUUUUCACAUCACGGUGUAUAACUCCAUGCUUAAUUCCUGUACCCGUGUGAAGAUAAUUUAACCCACGAGCUGCCCCUAUGCAUAUAUUGAGUCGUAGCAUCCAAGGUAGAGGAGUUUGAAGUUUGUGGAGAUGAUCUUCAAGGGUUCCAUGGGGCAUAUAAUCAUAAACAAGGAUUCUUUCGGUCCCAUCAUUGCAAUAACCAAUCAAAGACACCAAGUGACAGUGCCUUAACAUAGAAACCAUCUCAACUUCUGCCCAAAACUCUACUACGCCUUGGUUAGAAGUUGAAUCCAACCUCUUGAUGGCAACAAUCAAAAUCCUUGCCUCACUAAUGAUGGUUCCUCUAUAAACUUUUCCAAAAGCCACCAUGGCCGAUCACCAAUGACUCAUCGAAGUUUUGGGUUGCUCGUUUGAAUCUCUGGAAAGGUAAGCUGGCGACAUGGUUCUGGCAAUUCUAAGGUUGAGGAGGACUCAACCUCAUGACUGGUAAACAUAAUUAUAGAUGUGUACUAGGACCAGAUUCUGGUUACUACUUCUAAAUAUAUCAUCAAAAGGGUUGUAGCCAUUCUAAAGUUGAUGACUUAUCUUGACGGUGUGAAAGGAUUCUUAUGCCUUCUUUGUGGUCAAACAGACAUUGAUUUUUCUUCCCUAGAAGAGAAUCUUUUCAUUUAAAAAUAUUAUUCUAGGGGCCUAUAUAACAGUCAUAUAGGUGGUUGAAAACCACGUUUUCUUAGGCAAUUAAGGAAUAAAUUCACAGGAAUUGUUGCGGUUUUCGGGAAUGUGCAACAUGAUAUCACAAACAGCUUUUGUACUAUUGUUAAAGUACAUAUUAUUUGCAGUCUUAAAUUAACUUUGAAAGAUGGAAAAAUAGGUCUCCUAUUAGAGCAUCCAAGAUUGUCAACCUUAUCUACAGUUUUUUCUUUCUCAUUUUUCCACUAGUUUUAUCAAACAAAAACUUAUUACUUUAAACCUCGUUCAGUUAUUGACCACUUCUAAAGGAUUUUUGUAAAAUGUUUUAUAAAACUACGUCUAGUUGUUACUUUUUAAUCGCAUGAAAUAUUUGUAAAAAGAAAAUUUGUAUUUAACAAUAACAUUAAAUAAAAUCAAUAAUUUUACUAUAAAUAAAAUAAAAAUAAGUAGUACUAAAUAUAGAGUUCAUAUUUUGCUUAUUUAAGGCAUACGAGUGAAGUGGGCAGCGUUACAUUUGAUGGGUUUUGAUCACUAUAACUGUAACACCUGUAGAUCAGAGCUAGUCAAUUAAGAGACAAUAAGUGUCGAAAAUGACUUUUUGAUAGAAGAUUAUUUAGAAUGAAUAGUCUUAAUAAAAGCUGUAGUAUAUGUUACAAGGAUUCCAGAUAUAUAAAGAAUGCCGAAAUCUGAGUUAUAACAAAGAAGUUAUGACCUGUCGAAGUUUCGCGACAAAACCGGCACGACACAGCGCGACGUAAACAGUGAGUUUAUGAUAGAGCGAUAUUUGGCUCUAGCGAUCUAAACGAAAGUCGUAGAAUACGUUAAACCGAGAGCGUGUAUAAAGAGAACGCCGAAAUCUGACAUCGUAUGAGGAAGUUAUGAUUUUUCUAAGUUUCAGCUUAGCGGUAUGCAGCCCAAAUCUCGAAUUUGAGAUCGAGUGAUCUUUGGCCAAAACAAUUUAAACGAGAAUCGAAGGUCUUGUCGAUAGUAGUUCAACGGUAAAAACACAGACGAAAACGGACGUCAGAUGAAGAAGUUAUGAAUUUCUAACGGAGUUUUCCUGUCCCGGCUUACUAAAAAUAAUAUAAUAAAAAUAAAGUCUAAAUUAGCCGAUGGAGUCUAAAUGAAAGUUGUAGAGCAUAAUCUCACCUACGCGUGGAUAUAAAGAACGUCAAAAACGAGGAUUGUAUGCGAGAUAUAUGAAUUUAUGAAGUUCGGGGCACAAACUUCCACCACUAUCAGAGUUCACGACGUGAGUAGGGUGUUCAUGACGUGAACGGGUGAUUGACACCUUCCAGAGCAAGUGGACUGAUGACGAAUGCCAUGAACUGAGCAGGACCAAACUCACGACGUGAACAUUUGAGGUUCACGACAUGAAUCCGGAAAUUUGGCCCUAUAAAUAGAAACCUAAGGUCAACCGAAUAUGGUUGCUAAUUCAUCACUCCCUCACUCUGUAUACCCUCUCUGGCCAUCUUGCAGCACCCCCAAAGUCCCGAUAUCAUCCCGACACCCGAAGUAAGUCUUGAAGCCCUAAAGAUCUCGAGAUAAAUAGAUUUCAAUCUGAAGCUCUGCCCGCAAGAAGUCCAGCUUCUGAGAAAACAUCCCGGUUUCAUCAAAGAAUAUUACUUUAAGAGUUGUAGAGUUGUCCGAUCAUCGUCUUAUCAAGUGAGUGUAUAGCCACUUUCAUCUUACACAUAGAUAUGAAGUAUUUUAUAAAAUAUGUGCUAUGUGUAUAAGAUAUAUUAGACAUACCCGAUCCCGGAAUAUGGAUUAGGUAAGGAGGUAAAUUUUAGAUCUGGGAGUACGGAUUAUGUAUUUUUGAACUAUGCGUUCAUCCGAUAAGGUAUCAUGUGCAUAGUCCCUUUCAUGGACAUGAUUUUAAUACAAGUAUUGAUUAAAGUAUUAAAUAUAUAUGUAUGUGAAAUAUUUUUUAUUGCCCGAAAUAUGUGCUAGAUAUAUAUUUGAUGAUACACAACGUGCGAAUCGGUUAUGGUUCAGUAUGUGUUAAGAUGUGUAUAUAUGAUAUUAUUACUUAAAACUUUGUAUUAACUAUACACUAGUUAGCAUUGCCUAAAUAGAGAUAAUAUCGAAAAUUGAUUAUAAGAAUUGUAGGUUUGCCUAGUGAUGGGUUAAGACUUAAAAAAAGGGAUGUUUAGUUCAAUUAAGUUUGGACAUUGGGUAGCCUCUUAUUAAGAGUACGUGUGUGGUGAGAUCGAUGAUUCAAAGCCCUGUGUCUUAGGUGUUGCCUGUGUUGGGGUAUUAUUAUGUUCUCGGGUACGAGUCCUACACAUACCAGAGAACUAUAAUGUGCCAGAAGUUCUAUCAUGUACAUAGUCUUUUUGACACUAUUGUGUGUCGGUUACGGGAGUGUACGGGAGUACUCUAUUAGUAUUUCCCCAUACUUUUUAUUUUAAAAGAGCUUUGGAGUCAUCGUUUCUUUUAUGAAGUGAUCGGACAAGCUUCAUGUGACAGCGUUUCCUUUCAUGAGGUAAUUGAGGGAACUUCGUAGACUGCCUAAUAAAGUGUGUUAGUAAUAGACCACUACUAGGUAUGUAUAGUGUUAUAUUUCCGGAUAGGGUGAGUCUGUGGGUAAAAUAUUGCACGAUAUUCAUACCACUCCUAGGCAAAGUUCAAUGUUGGAUAGGGUGAGUAUGGGGUUAAAAUACCUCACGAUAUUCUGACCAUGACUAGGCAUUGUUAUCUAGAUAACUACCCCUGACUUAAUUGUCUUGUGGUUCUUUUUACGAACGAAGGUUCGUGGUGAAACUUAUUCCAUUCCCCUCAUUUGAUGUCUUUAUUGAUCCUCGUUUGCUGCCAGGGAAUUUCUGAAGCAGCUUCGUCAAUUUGUUGUUCAUAUUGAUUCCUUAGGCUAGAUCUCGUAAGAUCAUUGUAUAGGGUUAGUAUGAGGGGAUCGACGGGAUGGGAUAGAUUGUUUUAGAAAUAUGAUAUAUAUAUAUAUAUAUAUAUAUAUAUGUGUGUGUGUGUGUUAAUAAUAAUAGUGCUUUUGUAGGAUUGAGAUAUACAUUAUUAUCACAUUGUUUGAACUAGGUGUUCAUUAAGUAUUUUCAAACGGAGUGUUUACCAAGUAUAUUGAUUUAAGUGUUCACCAGUUGUAAUUUAAGAACCCUGGCAGCUAUGGACUUAGUGCCUUGUAUAUGUACGGUGGUAGCUAUGGAUUUAGUACCAUAUAGAUGAACAUUGGUAGCUAUGGACUUAGUACCUUGGCAACUAUGCAUUUAGUGCUUAUUAUAUAAACCUUGGUAACUAUGGAUUUAGUGCUUGUUGUAUAAACCUCAGGCAGGGAUGUACUUUGUGCCUAUACUUUAGGUCAAUCCUUAGGAAUGAAGGGUAGAUGAUUCUUAGGGUAGAUCCUUAAGAUUAAAGAAGAUAAUGGGGAUGGGGAAUUAGGUUGAUUGUUUGAUGAUUAAAUAUAAUAAUUAUAUUAUUAUGGGUUGAAAACCCAUAUGCUCACCAGGCUCCCAAGCCUGACCCACUCAGUUUUUCUGUAUUACAGGUAGUGGAACAAGAGCAUAGUUGGACAAUGAUGAUGGAUUUUGGAUUAUAGGCCAGUAGAUAUAAAUAAUUGUUGUAAGGCCUAAAUGAUAUUAUUUAUGCUUUUGGUCUAUAUCGGAACAUGACAUCCUGAUGUUUUGAUAUAUAAUUAAAAUAUAUAUAUAUUUUUUUAAGAAAUGAUUUGAUAAAUUCUUAUCAUAUUUUGUUUUGGGAACAAAUUCCACAACACUUUUUGUGACAACCCGAAAUUUCCAUUCUGUACAACAUACCAAGUCAUUAGAAAGUCAAACGCAUUCCUGCUAUCAUUCAGCCCAAUUUAGAGUCCGUUUGAGAGUUCUGAGCCUUGUACACUUAAGGAAGAAGUGUCGGGGUUUAUCUGCUGAAUUUAUAGCACAAAGCCCGAGCCUUAAGCACAUUAACCAUGAGUUCACGGACACCACAUGGGAGUUUACGGCCGUAAACUCCAUGUGGGCCAUAAACUCACCUUAUAUGGUGAAGAUGGAAGUCAUUUGUUCAUUUCUUUCAUUUCCUUGGCCCAAAUCCUCUCAAGUACUAUCUCGAUCUUCGUCCCCGAUCUUCAAAACUCGUAAGUUUCUUGCCCUAACUAGUUGAUAUCUUAGAUGAUCUAGUAAUCUUACAUGAUUUCAUCCAUGAAAUCAUUCCAUUUUGUAGAUUUUCAAGAUCCACCAAGAACACCAAGAACACACACUCGUGUUCUUGGCCAAUAUCGACCAUUUGAGCUCGUAAAUUGUAAGUACACUUGAUCCAACUCAUUGUACACCAUGUUUACCAUGUUUAGAACUUAGAAAACAUAAGAAAUCAAGAGAUUCAUGGAGUUUACUGCUAAGACAUGUUCUUGGGCCGUAAACCCCUUUUAAUGGUGCAAAUGACACCCUAACACUUAAGUGAGCCUUGGUUACUAGCAUAGAACAUUACCCCUUUGAGUUGAGGACUUCAUUUCACGAAAUGGUACUCCUUACCAUGAGUUUACGACCAUAAACUCAUGGGGGAGUGGUCCCAGGGCUGUGAACACCAUACUAGGUCAUUUUAGGACCUUAAACCCACCCAAACACUUGGUUAAAGCUUUGUAACACUUAACCACUUAAGCCCUAAGAGUUUUAAGCCACUUUUGGUGACCAAUUGAGAGUUUACGGCUAGGAGUUUACUCCCCUGGGCCGUAAACUCCAACACACAUGGUCUUUGGACCAUAAACUCCCGUAUGAGGCUUUGCACUCCUUUGUUGCAACCCGAUAACCUCCUAGCACUUGACCAAAGUGUUUUCCUUGCAAUAGGAUGUUCAUACAUGUUUAAUUAGUGUUAUAAUCACUAAUUGUUUAUAUACAUAUGUCUUCAUAUGUAACUAGGAUCAUUGUGUGUGUCUAAGUCUUCACUUGCCACCAAGCACUUGUCCGACACUUCCUUUCGAUCCGCUCACUGCAGGUGAGUUCAUACCCCUUGAAUUAACCUUUUAAAUGUUUUCAAAUGUUUAUAAAUGCUUUAUGGGGGGAAUACAAGUUGAAUCAUGUUUAGUUAUUAUAUCAAUCACAUGUGAUUAAUAACUAACAUGCAAAUGGCUUUACUUUACGUUAACUGUUUUACCAAUCAGAUUUCUUCAAAUGUUUAUCUCAAACGUUUUUAAGUGUUUACAACACUAAAUUAAACUGCUUGUUAAACACUGUAGGUUUCAUUUCAAACCCUGUUACAUUUGUGUUUCAAACAAAGGUUCCUUUUUACUUAAACUAUUGUUAUCAAACAAAUACUUUCAAACCGUUUUAUAAAUUGACAUCAAGUCGAUCUUUUCUUAGGUAUUAAUCUUUUUCAAAGGUUUUACAAAACUCCUUAUAUGCUUUUAUAUUGUCAAUUGCAUGCCAGUAUAUGUAUAGUUAUAUAAAUAAUUUUUAAAGGACUUAGGAAGGCUAACCCGCUUUAUUUCCUUUUCCCCGUUGGGAUGUGGUCUGGUAGGGUAUCGGGUAUCCUUCCGAAGGUCGUUUAAACUAUCAGUUAUAUAUCAUGUAUACAUAUAGAGACAUAAAAGUUGUCCUCAGUCAGUUCAGUACCUUUGGGUAGCAAAGGCAUUACUUCAGGUUAUACACGUACAUGGUUAUUAACUAUUAUAGGUAUAGUUAGGAGAUACCACUUACCAUUCCAAGUACAAGGAAUCACACAAGAGUCAGUUCAUUCAUGAGUCUAUGCUAGUACCUUACAUGAGUACGUUUACAUAUGCUUACAUGAGUAGGUUUACAUAUACUUACAGGAGUAUGUUUACAUAUGCUUACAUGAGUACGUUUACAUAUGCUUACAUGAGUACGUUUACAUAUACUUACAUGAGUACGUUUACAUAUGCUUACAUGAGUGUGUUUACAUAGAUACACUUACAUGAGUACAUUUACAUAGAUACGCUUACAUGAGUACGUUUACAUGAAUACUUUUACAUGAAUACUUUUACGUAGAUGUUAUAUGAUGGGUUACUAUUACAUAUUACAUGUGUAGAUACUGUUAUAUAUUUCUCCUUCUUAUCUUUAUCUUGUGAUUCAAUCACAUAAUCGACGAGAUAGAUUGGACUUUUUAUCCUAGUACCAAAGGAUACAUUGUGGGACUAACCAUUCCUAUCACCGCUGUUAGCUACAGAGGAUAAUGAACAUCUACAGAUGCUACGGUUAAUACUUAUAUUAGGAGUACCUUUACGGGACUAACCAUUCCUACACCCUGCUGUUAGAUACAGAGGAUAAUGAACAUCUACGGAUGCCUAUGGUUGAUACCAUUACAGGUAUACUUUAAGGGACUAACCAUUCCUACACCCAGCUGUUAGCAACAGAGGUAAAUGUACAUCUAAGGAUGUCUUGAGUUAACAUUGUUAGUUAUCCUAAUACAAAAGGAUAGUACUUAAGUUAUUAUGUUAUUUUCUUCCUUUACUUUGUAACACAUUCACAUGAACGACGAGGUAGGAUAUAUUUGAUAUAGAUAACUAUUUUUCUUAUUACCUUUAUAUUGCGACUUAUACACGUAAACGAUGAGGUAUACUAUAGUUUUAUACUAAUAGUUAAACAGGGAAAAACCAUCACAUUUACAAAGAUACUUACUUUCAAAAUAGUCGGGUCUUGGUAGAAGACUACUUUCAAAACAGUAGGGUCUUGGUAGAAGACUUCUUUUAUAGGGAUCAUAGGGAUUUCUAGGGUUAUUCAAACGCUUUCCAUUACUUAUAAACAUUUACAUACUUAUAUGAGCUUUCUUUCAAAACAAUGUCAAGACUUUUAUUACAAGUUUUACACAUCAAAGACAUAUUAAUACUUAUGAAUUCACCAGCUUUUUGGCUGAUACUCGCUUUCAAAAUAACUUGUAUUCUCAGGUCACAAAUAGACAGGAACGGCAACCAGGUUUGUGAAGACGGAGCUGUCCAGACUUGUCUUAUUCUGAUUAUUCAUUUUAUUGUUGUAUAUUAUGAAAGAACACACUUGUAAUUAAAAUUAUACUAUUAAUGAAAUGGAAGAUGUUGUUGCUUGUUUACUACUUUACAUUGUUGUGAUACAUUACAUGAUGUCCUCCGCCCCAGAACGUUCCCACCGUUCUCGGUUUUGGGGUGUGACACUUUUAAUCAAAGGAUUACUCUGGUUUUAUUUUUAAAAGCAUAAACGAAAUCAGUUUUUUCUGGCUGUGAAAUUAAGGAUGUCACAGUUGGUAUCAGAGCAUUAGUUUAAGCGAACUAGGAAUUUGUAGGAUUUCUAGACUUAAACUUAGAACGCUAAGUGAUGAUUGUGAGAUGAGUGUCUACCAUAUUUUAGACACGGGCACUAGUUUAUUUUAGGAAAGAUGCCUAAAAUGCUUUUAUGAGCUAAAUGUUAUAUGUUUGUCAUAUAUGAUAUUAUUUGUUUGGAUCUAUUGGUUUGUUGCCGACCGAAUCUGGAAACCUUAUGUGUUUAGGAUUCUAAGGGUAUGACUACGAUAUUAGAACUAGCAUGUAAACAUUUUGGAGUGAUAAGGAGAUUUAUAUGUCUAUCAUAAAUAAAGCUUUCCUAUCUUAAAAUUCUCGCCUAAGUACACCAAACGUCUGGUUGGGUGUACAAAACGUUAUGAUGAAGACUCGUUGAGAAUUGAGUAAAUGGAGGAAAUUAAAGGCUUAUGAUAGUGAAUGACACCUAUCGGAAGAUAUCGUAAGAGUGGUAUCUUGCCUUUAGAAUAUGUCUAAUAAAAUAAGGGAGCGUUUAUAGGGUUACAGUGUACACCUUCGAUUGGCAGGAUGAUGGAACGGUUGGUGUAAUUCUUGAAGUUGUCCCAUUGUUUGGAAUUUCCAUCACCAACCGAGUUGAAGUAGAAUUGAUGAGUGAAGAUACGCAUGGAAGAAGUCCUAGUAGAGUAUAGGGAAAUUUUUAUGAUUAAUUGGACACAUUUGUAUGUGUUAAAUUGUUUUGUGAUUUUAGGACUUGGGGACUGCGAGACCAUACUUGAGACGAGUAUGAGUAGGUGUGAAUAGUUGUAGAGAUCUAUACUACUGGAAGCACAGGACUCACACUUGGAUCAGGGAAAGUCACAAGGUUACCAAGAAGCUAGUAAUUGAUUUUGUUUUAUUCAUGUAUGUCGUUACCAUUGUUUCGGUAAUGACUCAGAAGAUGAAUGUUAAUUUGACCUAAGUGGUCAUAUCAAAUUGACUCUGAUUAAGAGGAGUUUGUUACGUUGUUCGGAGAUCUAAGUUCGAUGUAAUAUCUGACUUAAAUCAGAAGAUUGAAAUCAAUGUGAUCGAUAGAAUCGCGCUCAUUGUUAGAGAAAUUGGUAGCUAGAGAUGAUACAUGUUAAAAUGUAAUUAUAUCACAUUAGAACAUAAAGGAAGUUAUAGUUUGUUCUGGAAUUUGACUCUAAGAGACUUGAGUCUAAACGUUGCAUCACACGAUGAUAGGUCAUUAAAAUAUGAUCGAUCCAUGGUAGUAAUAAUAGAACUUGCAUUUAGUUUGUUAAAGAAGAAGAAGGAGUCUCUAGUAAAGAUCAAUAUUGAGACUUGAAGGUCAUAAUUUAGAGUUUAACAUAAGAUAGAAAGCAGGUGUAAGAUUUGAGCAUCGCCUACAGUCUAUCGUUCGAAGAAACAUAUUUAUUACGGUCAUUACUUAGGAUGGAAAGAUAACGUAUGGAAUCAUUAUAACAGACCUAUUUUGUUGAUGAUUUCGGGACCUAAUCAUCCAAAGGGGGAGAUAAUCGUAACGUCCGUAGAUCAGGGCUAGUCAAUUAAGAGACAAUAAGUGUCGAAAAUGACUUUUUAUAAAAGAUUAUUUAGAAUGAAUAGUCUUAAUAAAAGUUGUAGUAUAUGUUACAAGGAUUCCGGAUAUAUAAAGAAUGCCGACAUCCGAGUUAUGACGAAGAAGUUAUGACCUGUCGAAGUUUCACGACAGAACCGGCAUGACACAACGUAACAUAAAUAGUGAAUUUACAAUAGAGUGAUAUUUGGCUCUAGCGAUCUAAACUAAAGUCAUAGAAUACGUUAAACUGAGAGUGUGCAUAAAGAGAACGCCCAAAUCUGACUUUGUAUGAGGAAGUUAUGAUUUUUCUAAGUUUCAGCUUAGCGGUAUACAACCCAAAUCUCGAAUUUGAGAUCGAGUGAUCUUUGGCCAAAACAAUCUAAACGAGAAUCAAAGGUCUCGUGGAUAGUAGUUCAACGGUAAAAAGUCAGACGAAAACGGACGUCAGAUGAAGAAGUUAUGAAUUUCUAACAGAGUUUUCCUGUCCCGACCUACUAAAAAUAAUAUAAUAAAAAUAAGUCAAAAUUAGCCGACGGAGUCUAAACAAAAGUUGUAGAGCAUAAUCUCACUUAUGCGUGGAUAUAAAGAACGUCAAAAACGGAGCUCGUAUGCGAGAUAUAUGAAUUUCUGAAUUUCGGGGCACAAACUUCCACCACUGUCAGAGUUCACGACGUGAACAGGUGAUUGACACAUUCUAGAGCAAGUGGACUAAUGACGAACGCCAUGACCUGAGCAGGACCAAACUCACGACGUGAAUAUUUGAGGUUCACGAUGUGAAUCCAUAAAGUUGGCCCUAUAAAUAGAAACCCAAGGUCAGCCGAAUAUGGUUGCUAAUUCAUCACUCCCUCACUCUCUAUACCCUCUCUGGUCAUCUUGAAGCACCCCCGAAGUCCCGAUAUCAUCCCGAAACCCGAAAUAAGUCUCGAAGCCCCGAAGAUCCUGAGAAAAAGAGUUUUCAAGCCGAAGCUCUGCCCACGAGAAGUCUGGUUUCUGAAAAAACAUCCUGGUUUCAUCGAAGAAUAUUACUUUAAGAGUCGUAGUGCUGUCAGAUCAUCGUCUUAUCAAGUGAGUGUAUAGUCACUUUCAUCUUACGCAUAGAUAUGAAGUAUUUUAUAAAAUACGUGCUAUGUGUGUGUAUAUAUAUACAUAUAUAUCUAUAUAUAUAUAUAUAUAUAUAUGUAUAUAUAUAGGCAUACCUGAUACAUGAAUAUGGAUUAGGUAAGGAGGUAAAUUUUAGAUCCGGGAGUACGGAUUAUGUAUUUUUGAACUAUAUGUUCAUCCGAUAAGGUAUCAUGUGCAUAGUCCCUUUCAUGGACAUGAAUUUUAUACAAGUAUGGAUUAAAGUAUUAAAUAUAUAUGUGUGUGAAAUAUUUGUUAUUGCCCGAAAUAUGUGUUAGAUAUAUAUAUUUGAUGAUAUACAACAUGUGAAUCGGUUAUGAUUCAAUAUGUGUUAAGUAUACAUUAGUUAGCGUUGCCUAAACGAAGAUAAUAUCGAAAAUUGAUUAUAAGCAUUGUUGUAGCACCCGGUUCCUGGUAUGUAUCUCAUUCAAGUUUUCUUUCACAUUUUGGCAUGGACUCGGUGAGUUGAAGGCCCAACUCGUCGAGUAGAAGCGACUUGGACCCAGGGAUUAAGUGGGGGACUCGUCAUGUUGGCAACACGACUCGACGAGUAGACCCUGUCUGGACAAAACCCUAACCCGAGGGUUUACACCCUAUUUAAACGACCUUAUACAGCCUCCAUCGUCCCCUAUGCUAUCAGAACACGUCACAUUAAACCCUAAUCAUCUUUGGUGAAGAUCUAAGGCUUUUUGGUGAUUCUUGGUGGUUUGUGGUGGCAAGAAGGAAAGAAUAGCUUGAGGAACCAAGAGGUGGGCUAGAGGAGUUAAGCUUGUGCAUCAUCUACAGUUCAUGGAAGGUAUAAAGUCGACACCUUGCUUCUUCUUGCAUUAGAUCCCUUUUUGGGGAGAUCUAGGGCUUGUAUAAGCCAUUUUCGGUGACUAACCACAAAUGUAAGCAUGGUUGGGGGUUGAGGCUUCAGAUCCAGGCUCCUUAGGGAGUUGGGAGGCAGAAAGGGACUGCCUUUGCACCCAUGGAAAGCCCCAUGCAACUCAAGAGCUUCUUUUAGGACCAUUUUAGCUCAAAGUCCCAUGCAUACACGUAAAGUUCGUAACUUUACAUGCUAGAUCGAUCUUAGGAGCCUAGAUCUAUCAUUUGGACAAGUGUUGUACAUCAGAAAUCGAGAAAUGAGACUUGGACAACCUCGACUCGGCGAGUUGUUCGUGGGAAUUUGGGAGUCCGAGGCUUGACUCCCCUUUUCUGUUAGGGUUCAAAGGAACUAGUUGAAUGGUAGAAGGGUUUUAGAGGGUCCAAGGGAGUGACCCAAUGUUUUGGACUUAGCCAUAGACCUGGAGUUCAUAGGACUUGACGAGUACAUGAGCAGACUCGGCGAGUCCAAGGCCAUCUCCCAGCAAAUGAAGAUGAACUCGACGAGUUGUUCAUACAAGUCGGUGAGUCAAGGUCAGGACUUGUUCAACAAUUGAAGGUGAACUCGGCGAGUUAUUCAUACAACUCGACGAGUUGGAUGAAGGAUCAUGCGAGGUUCGUAAAGAAGGAGAACUCGUCGAGUCAUUGUUAAACUCAACGAGUAGAAACGUGAAUGACGGCACUUGAAAGGAUAGGGACUCGAUGAGUUGGCGGCCCAACUCGGUGAUUCAGGUCAACUGAAAGUUGACUUUUACUUUGACUUGGUCAGGGGUAUAUCAGUCAUUUACGCUAAGAGUAGUUAUCAGUAUCUGAUUAAGUGUUUUAUAGAUUUAUAGCCGGUGGAUCACCAGAGCAACAGUCAGACAUCUGUCGGUCAGCUUUUCAGCAGUCAGCCUUACGAGGUGAGUUACCUUCCAGUAGCGGUGGGUCUAAGGCACCAAGGCCGGCCCACCAGUAAGAGUCGUAUGUUAGAUGACUCUCUUUGUGAUAUUCAUCUAGGUUUGCUACUACUUGAUAUGUUAUGUGCUAGUAUGAUAUGAUGUUAUAUGUUAGUAGUAGUAAGGGAGACAGUCCCCAAGAUUUCCGGUCGAUAGGGCCAAAGGUGGGGGUAGUCAUACCCAGUCAUACUAGAUAGAAUACGGUUAUGUGUUACAUGUUAUGUGGUAGUGGUAGAGGGGUGAAAUAGUCCCUAGUAUUCGGUCGAGAGGACCGAAGGGGAGGCCAGCACCCAGAUAUGCUAGGCAGUAUCCGGUCGAGAGGACCGAAGGGGAGGCCAGCACCCAGAUAUGCUAGGCUGUAUCUGGUCGAGAGGACCGAAUGGGAGGCCAGCACCUAGAUAUGCUAUGCAGUAUCCGGUCGAGAGGAUCCAAGGGAUAGGUCCGGCACCCAGAAAUGCCUGACAAUAUAUGUAUGUUAUGUGAUUAUAUGGUAUGUGGUAUGUUGGGGGAACUCACUAAGCUUCGUGCUUACGGUUUAUAGUUUUGGUUUCAGGUACCUCUUUAGCAAAGGGGAAGGAGCUGGUGCGGUAGCUACACAUCAUACACACUCUCGUUACCUUCCGCAUUAUGAGAUAUUCUGGGAUUGUACUCUGACAUGAUAUUAUUUUCAGUAUUUGGGUUUUUAGACAUGUUACAUUGUUUAUGAGAUGAUAUGAUUUCACAUUGUUACUUAUAAACGUUUUGCAAAUCCAUUAAUUAAAAAUGAACUUUUUGGACGUGAAAUUUUGGUUGUUACAAGUUGGUAUCAGAGCCCUGGUUUGAGAGAUUCAGACACACCCUCGGGGAUGUCUAGACUCAAACUGAGGGAUUAAAAGAUUUUUACAAAGAAAAUGGUUUUCUAAAAGCUAAGUUAAAAAGUUUUAAGAAAGAACGAUGUUUGUGAUGUGUGCGACGAGCCGAGCUCACGUAAGUUUUUCGCCAAAGUACCGAUACAAGUUUAUGUUAUGGUUAUCAGUUUCAGUAGAACAACAUGCUAUAUUAGGACUAAGGAUCUAGGAAGGAUGCCUUAUGUGCCUAUUAUAUGUGCUUUUAAGCUGCAUGAUAGUGUUGAAUAGACAGAGAUAGGAUAGCCUGCUUAGGUUAUGCCUGAUUACAUGAGCUUAUAUCGCAUGCUAGUACAACUUCCUGUUAUGUGGAUAGAAUUGCUUGAGCUUGUUUCCUUUUUGUCUGAAUGCUGCUUGCUUUGUGCUAUGUAGGGCUCGGAGUGAUGGGAGUUAGAUAUUAGUUGGGUACGUUAGAUCACAUGCUAUCAGGGUUGGAUAAUCUCAGAGUGUUAGAUUUGAGCCUACUGUGUAGCUCUUGUUUGAGUCCUAAUCGUUGUAGGGAUUAGUCCCUUACUCGAUGGAUUAUCUAAGCCUCGUGGCAUGUGAUUGUAUCCAUAUGGUGGCUAAUUGGCAUUGCAAAGAGGCCUUCAACAGCUGAGGACCGGUUUGGUGGAGUUAGAGGUACCCUAGGGCAAGCAUAGGAUGAGAGUAGCAGAGAUCAGUAGUAGUAGUAGAAGGGACUUGGUGGAGUCAAGGCAGUUCUUGAGGAAAGUAAGGAUAGAUGUGGAAGCUAGUAUGGGCCCGUACUACUGAAAUCAGAGGAUCCGUACUUGAGUCGAGGAAGGCUGAGACAAGAGCAGGAAACCUAUAAUAGAUGUGAUCCCUCUAGAUGUAUCAGUAUCACUGAUAGUUGUCAAUAUGUACUGCAGAAUGGUGGUGCUAUGUCCGAGGCCAGUAGUUGGUAGUUCAGGAGAGGGAUCGGGUUUGGGUUAAGGUUCCGAACCAGUGGAUGGGAGGCUACGCGAGUCCAUCGCGUCCUAGAUCACUAGAUGCAUCCUUGAUGCGACCCCGGUCAUCUUUAGGUCGAUCAAGGAAGGGAUUAUCGAGCUGAGGGAGGAUUGCCUCAGGGCGUUCAGGAGUGACAUGGCGACCAGCUAGUCAGGAUCAUGCACACUAUCCUUUAAGGACUUUAGAGGCAGUGGUGCGCCAGAUUUCCAUGGGGCGAAGGACCGAAUUUUGGCCAAGCGGUGGAUUGUAGACAUUGAGUCUACGCAGUUGACCAGCUUCUGCCCCGAGGGGUCGAAGGUGAGAUACGCAGCAGGGUGCUUGAGAGACAGGGCCAGGGAUUGGUGGGAGUCGGUUGGUGACUCUCUGGGAGCCUCGACUAUUGAGGCUAUGGCAUGGUCGGACUUUGUGACUUGGUUCAGGAGUGAGUUCGCGCCAGUUGUGGAGCUUCAGCAGUUGGCCAGGGAGUUUUUUGGAUAUGAGAUAGACUACGGAGACUGUGGCGGAGAUCACCGCCAAGUUCCGGGAUAGGGCGUUGCUGGCGCCCCAGUAUGCAGGAGAUGAGGACAUGAGGAGGCCCCGCUACCAUGACAUGCUGCGAGCCAACGUUCGGGAGCAUGUCAGUUUUUCAGCUUGCCUUACCCUGGAUUCCAUGAUUGUCAGGGAAAGGGAGAAGGAGAUUGACCUGGAGCACAUCCGGAAGAGGAAGCUCGAGGAGGGACAUAUGAUUGGGGCUUCGGGGAACAAGCCCAAGGGAUCAGACGUUGGGCCAAAAGGCCAGCAGGGCUAAGGACGCUGCAGGAAAUGCGGCAAGUCACAUGAGGGAGUGUGCAGGUUGGGAUCGUUGGGCUGCUAUAAGUGCAGCAAGUUGGGGCAUUUCAGCAAGGAUUGUACCGCCCCUGCACCCACUAUUCAGAUAUCUGAGUUGCUAUGUUUCCUUUGCAACCAGAGUGACCAUAAGAAGGCCAAUUGCCCCCAGUUGACAGCAGUAGCGCCAGUGAAGGCGCCAGCCCCAGCGAACCUACGGAUUACUGAUGGCCGGAAGGGCAAGUCAGAGGCUCCAGUGGUCAGGAGUCGGGCCUUCCAGUUGACUACCGAGGAGGCAUGCGCCACACCCGAUGUGGUGACGGGUAUGAUUCUUUUUCUUUGAUUUAUUUAUAUGAUGUUUUUGACAUUGAUAUAUGCUUAUAUAUAUAUAUAUAUAUAUAUGUGUGUGUGUGUGUGUGUGUGUGUGUUUAGGAUCGUUCCAUGUGAACGGUAUACUGGUUCAGGUGUUGUUUGACUCGGGCGCUACCCGAUUGUUUGUAUCUCUUGUGGUUAGCAAGAAGUUUCCUGAGUCCUCGGGCAUGUUGGAUUGCCCUCUAGAGGUCGAGAUUGCGGACGACCGGUCUGUGUGAGCAUCAGAGGUCUUCCGGGGUUGUGUUUUGAGGUUGUUCGAAGAGCGUUAUCUAAUGGAUUUGGUUCCCAAACCGUGAGGGGGAACAAGGUUAUUAUUGGUAUAGAUUAGCUAAGUCCUAACGGAGUAGUGAUUGACUGUGCACAACAGUUGGUUCGGAUCAGGACCCCAGGUGGGGGAGAGCUGGUGAUUCAAGGCGCGAGGCCACAACGAGGACCAGCUUUAUGUUCGGCAUCGAGAGCAAGGCGCUACCUUUAGCAGGGUUGCACAUGAUUUGUCACCUAUGUUACGGAUACCCGGGAGGCGGGUAAGGUAACGGUGGGCGAUGUGCCUGUGGUACGAGAGUUUGCCGAUGUAUUCCUUGAGGAGUUGCUUGGGAUACCUCCGGAGGGGCAGGUUGAGUUCAGGANGUCCCUGGUGCGGCUCCGAUAGCUAAGGCACCGUAUCGGUUGGCUCCUCCUGAGAUUAAGGAGUUGUCUGCACAGUUGCAGGAGCUGUUAGACAAAGGAUUCAUUAGACUGAGCAGUUCACCCUGGGGAGCCCCGAUUCUUUUUGUGAAGAGGAAGGACGGGCCGCAUCGGAUGUGUAUAGAUUAUCGGGAGCUAAAUAAGGUAACGGUGAAGAACCAUUACCCACUCCCAAGGAUUGAUGACCUCUUUGACCAGUUACAUCAGGUGAGGGUCAAAGAGGAGGAUAUACAAAAGACUGCUAUCCGGACAUGUUAUGGCCACUAUGAGUUUGUGGUGAUGCCCUUCGGGCUCACCAAUGCUCCUGCCGCGUUCAUGGAUCUCAUGAACCGCAUAUGUAGACCGAUGUUGGAUCGUUCCAUGAUAGUUUUCAUUGAUGAUAUCUUAGUCUACUCCAAGAUUCAGGAGGAGCAUCUGCGAGAGGUUUUGGAGACCCAGCGGAGGGAGAGCUUGUACGCCAUGUUCUCCAAGUGUGAGUUCUGGUUGCGCGAUGAGCAGUUUGUUGGGCAUCUUGUCAACCAGGACGGUAUUCUGGUCGACCCGGCCAAGGUAGAGUCCAUGAUGAGAUGGGAGGUUCCAAAGUCUCCAUCUGAGAUAUGGAGUUUCCUGGGAUUAGCUGGCUACUAUUUGAGAUUCAUCCAGGAUUUCUCCAAGAUAGACGUACCCUUGACUCGGCUAACGAAGAAGGUCGUAGUCUUUCGCUAGGGGCCUAAGCAGCAGGAAGCCCUGCUAGAGGGCAUAGAGGGUUUUGUUUUAUACUGCGAUGCGUCCAUAUCGAGUUUGGGCGCAGUUCUAAUGCAGAGAGGACAUGUUAAUGCUUACGCUUCGAGGCAGUUAAAGCCUCACGAGGCGAACUACCGAACGCAUGAUUUGGAGUUAGGGGCGGUUGUUUUGCCCUAAAGAUUUGGCGUCAUUACCUCUGUGGGGUUCAUUGUACCAUUUACAUAGACCACAAGAGCCUGAGGUAUCUCAUGGACCAGCCGAAUCUGAACAUGAGGCAACGUCGGUGGUUGGAUGUGGUGAAGGAUUAUGAUUAUGAGAUCCUUUACCAUCCGGGGAAGGCCAAUGUGGUGGCCGAUAUGCUUAGCUACAAGGUAGCGCCGAUCAGGGAUAUCUGCAUGCGGAUGACUGUGGUGACUCCGCUGCUAGAGCAGAUCCGAGAGGCCCAACAAGAGGCUAUAAAGGAGGAACAUCAGAAGAGCGACCGUAUUGUGGGUCAGGUGUCCUCUUUCGACUAUGAUAGCCGAGGGUUGUUGACCCUCCACCAUAGGGUAUGGUUCCCUAUCAUGGAGGUGCACGUCAGAUAUUAAUGGAGGAGGCACACAAAUCCAGGUUUUCUAUCCAUCCCGGGGUGACAGAGAUGUAUAGGGAUCUUCGUCUUGACUAUUGGUGGGUCUGCAUGAAGCAGGAUGUAGCAUGGUAUGUGGAUCGGUGCUUGACCUGUAGGAAGGUUAAGGCCGAACAUCUGAGGCCACACGGCAAGAUGCAGCCGUUGGAUAUUCCCAUGAGGAAAUGGGAAGAUAUCACCAUGGACUUGAUCACCAAACUUCACAGGACCGCACGGGGAGUGGAUUCCAUAUGGGUCAUUGUGGAUUGGUUGAGCAAGAGUGUGCAUUUUAUACCGAUCCAGGAGAGUAUCUCGGCCGAGAAUUUGGUAGACAUUUACAUUCGAGAGGUGUUGACUCGACAUGGAGUGCCAGUCUCCGUGAUUUCCGACAGAGAUAUGCGGUUUACUUCCAGGUUCUGGAAGAAAUUCCACGACGAUUUGGGUACUCGUCUCCAUUUUAGCACCGCAUUUCACCCACAAACGGAUGGUCAGAGCGAGUGAACCAUCCAGACUCUGGAGGAUAUGCUACGGGCAUAUGUGUUGGAUUUCGGUGAUAGCUGGGAUACUCACCUCCCAUUGGCUGAAUUCUCCUACAACAAUAGCUACCAAGCAAGUGUCGAUUGUCCUCCCUUUGAGAUGUUAUAUGGGCAAGGUAGCGUACAAGCUGGAUCUGCCAGCCGGACUCAGUCAGAUCCACAACACUUUCCACACCUCCCAGCUACGGAGGUACCUGGUGUACGACUCAACAGUGGUGCCCCUAGAGGAUAUCCAUGUCGACGACAGCCAGAAUUACAUUGAGCGGCUUGUGGUGAUUCUUGAUCGGAAGUCAAAUGAGAUGAGGAAUAAAAGGAUCGAGCUGGUGAAGGUGCAAUGGAGGCACCGAAAAGGCUCAGAGUGGACGUGGGAGCUGGUGGAUGAGAUGAUGGAGCAUUACCCAGAUCUUUUCCAGGAACGAGCAGCAGACUUCGAGGACGAAGUCUAAAAUAAGUGGGGGAGAUUUGUAGCACCCGGUUACUGGUAUGUAUUUCAUUCAAGUUUUUUUUUCACAUUUUGGCAUGGACUCGGCGAGUUGAAGGCCCAACUUAUCGAGUAGAAGCGACUUGGACCCAUGCUUUAAGUGGCAGACUCAUCGAGUCGGCAACAAGACUCGACGAGUAGAGCGUGUCUGGACAAAACCCUAACCCGAGGGUUUGCACCCUAUUUAAACGACCUUAUACAGCCUCCAUCAUCCCCUAUGCUAUCAGUACACCUUACAUUAAACCCUAAUCAUCUUUGGUGAAGAUCUAAGGGUUUUUGGUGAUUCUUGGUGGUUUAUGGUGGCAAGAAGGAAAGAAUAGCUUGAGGAACCAAGAGGUUGGCCAGAGGAGUCAAGCUUAUGCAUCAUCUACAGUUCUUGGAAGAUAUAAAGUUGACACCUUGCUUCUUCUUGCAUUAGAUCCCUUUUUGGGGAGAUUUAGGGCUUGUAUAAGCCAUUUUUGGUGACCAACCACGAUUGCAAGCAUGGUUGAAGGUUGAGGAUUCAGAUCCAGGCUCCAUAAGGAGUUGGGAGGCAGAAAGGGACUGCCUUUGCACACAUGGAAAUCCCCAUGCAACUCAAGGGCUUCUUUUAGGACCAUUUUAGCUCAAAGUUCCAUGCAUGCACGUAAAGUUCGUACAACUCGGCGAGUCCAAGGACAUCUCCCAGCAAAUGAAGAUGAACUCGACGAGUUGUUCAUACAAAUUGUCGAGUCAAGGUCAUGACUUGUUCAAAAAUUGAAGGUGAACUCGGCGAGUUGUUCAUGCAACUCAACGAGUUGGAUGAAGGAUCAUGCAAGGUUCGUAAAGAAGGAGAACUCGUCGAGUCAUUGCUAAACUCAAUGAGUAGAAGCGUGAAUGACGACAGUUGAAAGGAUAGGUACUCGACGAGUUGGCAGCCCAACUCGGCUAGUCAGGCCAUCUGAAAGUUGACUUUGACUUUGACUUGUUCUGGGGUAAAAUAGUCAUUUACCCUAAGAGUAGUUAUCAUUGUCUGAUUAAGUGUUUUAUGGAUUUAUAGCCGGAGGAUCACUAGAGCAGCAGUCAGACAUCUACCGAUCAUCUUUUCAGGAGUCAACCUUAUGAGGUGAGUUACCUUCCAGUAGCGGUGGAUCAAAGGCACCAAGGCCGGCCCACCAGUAGGAGUCGUAUGUUAGAUGAAUCUCUUUGUGAUAUUCAUCUAGGUUUGCUACUACUUGAUAUGUUAUGUGCUAGUAUGAUAUGAUGUUAUAUGUUAGUAGCAGUAAGGGAGACAGUCCCCAAGAUUUCCGGUUUAUAGGGCCAAAGGGGGGGGGNNNNNNNNNNNNNNNNNNNNNNNGUCAUACCCAGUCAUACUAGAUAGAAUACGGUUAUGUGUUACAUGUUAUGUGGUAGUGGUAGAGGGGUGAAAUAGUCCCCAGUAUCCGGUCGAGAGGACCAAAAGGGAGGCCAACACCCAGAUAUGCUAGGCAGUAUCCGGUCGAGAGGGUCGAAGGGGAGGCUAACACCCAAAUAUGGUAGGUAGUAACCGGUCGAGAGGACCGAAAGGGAGGCCAGCACCCAGAUAUGCUAGGCAGUAUCCGGUCGAGAGGAUCGAAGGGGUAGGUCGGGCACCCAGAUAUGCCUGACAAUAUAUGCAUGUUAUGUGAUUAUAUGGUAUGUGGUAUGUUGGGGGAACUCACUAAGCUUCGUGCUUACGGUUUACAGUUUUGGUUUCAGGUACCUCUUCAGCAAAGUGGAAGGAGCUAGCGCGGUAGCUGCACAUCAUACACACUCUCGUUACCAUCCGCAUUAGGAGAUAUUAUGGGAUUAUACUCUGACAUGAUAUUAUUUUCAGUAUUUGGGUUUUCAGACAUGAUACAUUGUUUAUGAGAUGAUAUGAUUUCACAUUGUUACUUAUAAACGUUUUGCAAAUCCAUUAAUUAAAAAUGAAAUUUUGGAAGUGAAAUUUGGGUUGUUACAAUUCUAGGUUUGCCUAGUGUAAGACUUAAAAAAAGGGAUGUUUAGUUCAAAUAAGUUUGGACAUUGGGUAGCCUCUUAUAAUGAGUACGUGUGUGGUGAGAUCGAUGAUCGGUGGAGUACGUCCUACGUACAAAAGUUCAUUUUACACACGAAUUCCUUUUCAAAUCCGUAUGUCUUAGGUGCUGCUUGUCUUUGGGGUAGUAUUAUCUUCUCGGGAACGAGUGCUACGCAUACCAGAGUACUAUAAUGUGCCAGAAGUACUAUCAUGUAAAAAGUCUUUUUGACACUAUUGUGUGUCGGUUAUGGGAGUGUAUGGGAGUACUCUAUUAGUAUUUCCCCAUAAUUUUUAUUUUGAAAGAGCUUUGGAGUCAUCGUUUCUUUUAUGAAGUGAUCGGACGAGCUUCAUGUGUUAGUGUUUCCUUUCAUGAAGUAAUUGAGGGAACUUCGUAGACUGCCUAAUAAAGUGUGUUGGUAAUAGACCACUACUAGGUAUGUCUGGUGUCAUAUUUCCUAAUAGGGUGAGUAUAGGGGAAAAAUACCUCACGAUAUUCAGACCACAGCUAGGCAAAGUUCGAUGCUAGAUAGGGUGACUCUGGGGGUAAAAUACCUCACGAUAUUCGGACCACGGCUAGGCAUUGUUAUCUAGAUAACUACCCCUGACUUAAUUGUCUUCUGGUUCUUUUUACGAACGAAGGUUCAUGGUGAAAGUUAUUUCAUUCCCCUCAUUUUAUGUCUUUAUUGUUCCUUAUUUGAUGCUAGGGAAUUUCCGAAGCAGCUUCAUCAGUUUGUUGUUCAUAUCGAUUCCUUAGGCUAGAUCUCGUAAGAUCAUUGUAUAGAGUCAGUAUGUGGGGAUCGACGGGAUGUGAUAGAUUGUUUUAGAAAUAUGAUAUAUAUAUAUAUAUAUAUAUGUGUGUGUGUGUGUGUGUGUNNNAUAUAUGUGUGUGUGUGUGUGUGUUAAUAAUAAUAGUGGUUUUGUAGGAUUGAGAUAUACAUUAUUAUCACAUUGUUUGAACUAGGUGGUCGUUAAGUAUUUUCAAACGGAGUGUUUACCAAGUAUUUUGAUUUAAGUGUUCACCAGCUGUAAUUUAAGAACCCUUGUAGCUAUGGACUUAGUGCCUUCUAUAUGUACGCUGGUAGCUAUGGAUUUAGUACCAUAUAGAUGAACAUUGGUAGCUAUGGACUUAGUACCUUUGCAGCUAUGGAUUUAGUGCUUGUUGUAUAAACCUUGACAGCUAUGGAUUUAGUGCUUGUUAUAUAAACCUCAGGCAGUGAUGGACUUCGUGCCUAUUCCUUAGGUCAAUCCUUAGGAAUGAAGGAUAGAUGAUUCUUAGGAUAGAUCCUUAAGAUUAAAGAAGAUAAUGGGGAUGAGAAAUUAGGUUAACUGUUUAAUGAUUAAAUAUAAUAAUUAUAUUAUUAUGGGUUGAAAACCCUAUAUGCUCACCAGGCUCCCAAGCCUGACCCACUCAGUUUAUCUAUAUUAUAGGUUGUGGAACAAGAGCAUAGUUGGACAAUGACGCUGGAUUUUGGAUUAUAGGCCAGUAGAUAUAAAUAACUGUUAUAAGUCCUAAAUGAUAUUAUUUAUGCUUUUGGUCUGUAUUGGAACAUGACAUCCCGAGGUUUUGAUAUAUAAUGAAAAUGUAUAUUUCUUUAAGAAAUUAUUUGAUAAAUUCUUAUCAUAUUUUGUUUUGGGAACAAAUUAUGCAAUACUUUUAAUCAAAGGAUUACUUUGAUUUUAUUUUGAAAAGGAUAAACGGAAUCGGUCUUUUCUGGCCGUGAAAUUAGGGAUGUCACAAUAACAUCCCUAUGAUGCACAUACAACCCUAAUGUUCUGGAUCUAAGUUUUCUCUAGUUAUACAUGCAAUUUCAUUUUUCCAAAGCAUGAAGGAUAACUAGUAUACAACUUUGAUAAUUGAAACAAAAAAAACAAGAUGAUUACCUCUUUGUUGUAGCUUGUAGAACUUGACCUUACAAGAGCUUAGCACCUUAAAUGUGAUGCCCUAAAUGAGUCACAAACACCAAGAACAAUGGGGUUACAUUUAUAGUGUAGAAUUCCAAGGGUCACUUGUAAACCCAAAUUCAUUUACUUAGGCUUUUAGUCCAAUAUCUCAUUUGGACUAACACUUCAUGGACUCUCACAUAAGCUUAGUCCAUUACUAAUCAAUCAUGGAUCAUUAGCCCAAACUAUAUGUAUCAUUGAUUUACAUAAUCAGUCACCGUUAAUUUAAUUAGUCUCUUUUGAUCACUAAAUUAAUUCCAAAUUAAUUCUUAAUCAAUACGAAUUAAAUAAUUUGAUUUCUCAAUUAAUAUAUUAUACUUAUAAUAUAUUAAUAAAUCACAAAUAACCUCUUUCUCAAAUAUCCAUCCUAUCAAAUUGCCCCGGUGAAGGCAACCCAAAUGGACCAUGUUACUAUCGGGUCAAGUACAUACCAAUUAUAGUUAUUGUAUUAGACACCUAGUCCAAUAGUAUCCCACUUGGAUAAGACUAAUAAUUAUAACUGUCAAUGCAACUUCAAAAUCCGAUUAGCAAUCGUAGCUCUAAAAAGUUGUCGUCGAACUCUGACACGUCCUUUAGAUAAAGGAUCAUAUAGUCCUCUGUUCUUCAAGAUAUCGUGUGGAUAAAUACAUGGAACAUAGUCAUACUUAUUGUCCAGUAGUUUGUUUUCCGAUUUCUGAUUUGUUUGACAUAGAACUUAAUUGAACACAUCAAUUUAGUCCUGAUCGGUCCCGACACAUAAGUCAAAACGAAAUCAUCGAGGGGCCUAAGAUAUCGCUUUUAAUCCUCUUAGGAUAAAAGGGACAGAUAAACUUUGACAUAUAUGCCUGUACUAAUUACUCGUUAAAUUAUACACAACAAAACGUUUUAUAACAUCAAGUUACUGAUGUGUUUUUGUACUAUCAAUGCACAACAAACUCGUAAUAAACAACUCAUAUAUCUUGGUUUGAAGACUAUAUGAUAUUAUCAUAUCAAAAUCACUUGUGAUAAAUUCCAUGAAGUGAUUCAUUUGAGCGUGGGUUUAAUCCAAUAUUCAAAUCUUAUUUCAGGAGCACUCGUGAACUUUGUAGCAAACUUUUUCUAUGUCAAAACGCUUUAGACAAUCUACAACUCAAUUCAUGACAGUCUUGCCUCAGUACCUAUUUCCAAAGUAUGAUCAACCAUGGAAAAUUUAAAUAAUCUUAUUAUUCUGGAAGUCAAAACUUGCAAAAUGAAACAAUAGUAAAUGAUUGACACAAGAUAGUAACUUUACUCAUAAAUAAAAUUCCUUUUAUUUAAUCAUCAAAUGUCAAUUAAAUUUUAUCUAUCACAAGUUUCCAAAUAGCUAUCUAAUCACUAAAACUAAUAUCGUCCUUCAGCCCAAUACUCAUAGCAUGCUGCAAGUGCUUAACCCUACUCACUCCUUUUUGUACGGGGGUCCGCUGGGUUCUCUUCUGACGAUACCCUCUUUACUACGAGGAGUCCUUCUUCUACUCGAUGUCUUAUGAAGUGAUAUUUUCUGUCAAUGUGCCUGUAUCUGCCAUGAUCCCUCGGUUCCUUGAUUAAGGCAACCACACCCUCAUUGUCACAGAAAAUCUCCAUAGGUUCCUUUUGUAAUGCCCAUGUGUUUGAGCUAGGCAUUAAUGACGAUGUAAUAGUUUAGGUUAACCUUUGUAACUCAUUUUGAAAUAAUAAGAAUGUAUUAUUUGAGUAUUAUGUGUUUUAUGCUUAAUUGUGUGGCUUAAUUGAAUUAAGAAUAAAAAUAAGCGUAAAAAUAAAUUGUUAGAUAAAACCGAGAUCGAUACAUGAAAACGUAGUGGUCGUGACAAGGAUUUCGGAUAUAUAAACAAUGCCGAAAUCCGAGUUAUAACGAAGAAGUUAUGACCUGUCAAAGUUUCAUGACAAAACCGGUACGACACUACGCGACGUAAAUAGUGAAUUUACGUCAGAGCGAUAUUUAGCUUUAGUGAUCUAAACUAAAGUCGUAGAAUACAUUAAACCGAGAGCAUACAAAAAAAGAAGGUCUAAAUCUGAAUUUGUAUGAGGAAGUUAUGAAUUUCCGAAGUUUUGACUUAGCAGUAUGCAGCCCAAAGUUCGGAUAUGAGAUCGAGUGAUUUCUAGCCGAAACAAUCUAAACGAGAAUCGAAGAUCUCGUCGAUAGUAGUGCAACGGAAGAAAGCCAGACAAAAACAGACGUCAGAUAAAUAAGUUAUGAAUUUUUAACGGAGUUUUCCUGUCUCGGCCGACUAAAAAUAAUAUAAUAAAAAUAAAGUGAAAAUUAGCCGAUGGAGUCUAAAGUUCGAAGCACGCUUCCCAAAGGAGAACUCCCCAUGUUCAUAUGUGGAACGCCCCACGUUCAAAACUUGGCCCCGGAUUGGCCACGUCGAUGUUGAGUCAAACGGAUAAGAGAAAAGACGGAACCCCGCUCCUACGAGCCACGUUCGAAGGGAACGCCCAGUGUUUAGGGAACACCCUGUGUUCCUCUAGGUAACGCCCUGUGUUUGUGCCAGACUUUACUCUAUAAAUAGAACACAAGGGCAUCCAUUUAAGGUUGCUCAAUCUCUUCUCUCUCACCCAUAUUACCUCGAUUUAUGUGCAAUUUAUACCCCCAAAGCCUCGGUAUCAUCCCGAGACCCGAAGUGAGUCCCGAAGCCCCAAAGAUCCUGAGAAACAGAGUUCCCGAGCCGAAACUCUGCCCUUGAGAAACCCAGUUUUCAAAAAAGCAUCCCGGUUUCUCCGAAGAAUACUACUUUUAGAGCUGAAGUGUUGUCCGAUAAUCAUCUUAUCAAGUGAGUGCAUAGCCCCUUUCAUAUACAUGAUUUAAUACAAGUAUCGAUUGAAUGUAUUAGGUAUAUGUUUUAUGUGAGUGUAUUAUUGUUAUCUUCUAAACGCAUAGAUAUGAUUUAUUCUCUAUGAAAUACGUGUUAUGUGUAUAUGUAUCAUCUGUUAUUUGGAUUGAGUAUGAAUGAACAUGUAAUACAAGAUUUAAACUAUGUAUAAAACAAGUAUAUUUUAUCUACAAAUAUGUUGGGUGGAACAUGGGUAUAUAGUGAUGUGUGAUGAAAUAAAAAUGAUGAGAGGCCUCGAUAUCGUUGUUGAUCUAGUCAUUUAGCGGAGUAUGGGUGACGACGAUAGAAUCUUUCUAGACGGUCUAGUGGAACGCUGGCAAGUUCAUACCCUAUAGGUGUUGUGAACGAUGUGUUCACCAGUGUACUCUAUCCCCCUCAUGGUUGCCUUUAGGACAUCUAUUGUUGAGGAAACCCCUUUGCAAUAAUGUCUGUCCCGAUGAAAAUCCUAGAUUAGGUCCCAUGUAAUAGUUGUUGUCAUAGGGACGUAAAGUGAGGAUAACAUGAAUGGGUAAUCGAGUUAUUGUUGGUUGGUUAAAUUAAAUAUAACUAUUUAUUGUGGGUUGAAAACCCUAUAUGCUCACCAGGCCCCCAAGCCUGACCCACUCAGUUUUAUUUGUAUUACAGGUAGUGGCGCGAGAACAUAAGUUGGACAACUUGUGAAUAUAUUUUGUUUAUAGGCUAGUAGUUGUGUAUAAUUGUUGUAAAGCUUAUAAUAUGCCGUUUAUGCUUUUGUGUAUGUAUCGGAACAUGACAUCUCGAGUUUUGAUAUAUAAUGAAAAUACAUUUCUAUAAUGAAUGCUUUGAUAAAUUUUAUUUAUCAGAUUUUGUUUUGGGAACAAAAUUCCAUAACUCUUUUAAAUCAAAGGAUUACUCUAAAAAUUAUUUUAAAAGCAUAAACUAAAUCAGUCUUUUCUGAACGUGAUUUUUGGGAUGUCACAGUUGGUAUCAGAGCAUUAGUUUAAGUGAAGUAGGAAUUUGUAGGAUUUCUAGACUUAAACUUAGAAUGUUAAGUGAAGAUUGUGAGAUGAGUGUCUGUCGUAUUUUAGACACGAGCACUAGUUUAUUUUAGGAAGGUUGCCUAAAAUGCUUUUAUGUGCUAAAUGUUAUAUGAUUGACAUAUAUGAUAUUAUUUGUUCGGAUCUAUGGUUUGUUGCCGACUGGAUCUGAAAACCUCAUGUGUUUAGGAUUCUAAGCGUAGGAUUACGGUAUUAGAACUAGCAUCUAAAUGUUUCAGAGUGAUAAGGAUGAUUUAAUUAUCUAUCGUGAUUGAGGAUCUAAAUUCACCUUAUUCGGUGCAUAGAUCAAAAAUGGUAAGAACCAGAAGUGGCGUUGGAAACGCAGAUAAAAACAGGAAUCAACCACCAGUGAUUGAGCGAUUACAUGUUGUAGCAGCAGCACCUGAGCCAAUGACAAUGGCUGUGGUAUAAUUGAUGAUUCAAACGAUGUUGGAUCAUCAGAUGGAAAAAACGAGACGCCUGCGUCGACAGAAUCGGGAAGAACUUUUAAUGCCGAUUGAACUACCCGAGUUGAAUGAAGGGCAUUCGGAAGGAGGAAACUGCAAUGGAACUGUUGGUCAAGCUAACCUACCAACUGUUAGGCAAAUCAACCAGGAUGAAGGAAAUGAUGGGCGUGGGUGUAAGUACAAGGAUUUCAUGGCAUCCAAGCCACCAUGUAUAUCCGGAAGCCCGAUGCCGGUACAAAUUAUAAACUGGAUCUUUAAAAUGGAGACAAUCUUUGAAAGUUGUGAAUGCAGCAACAAACAGAAGACCUCUCUUGCGACCCCUCUGCUAAAAUCUGGCGUGUUGAGUUGGUGGAAGCUGUUAGCUGACUCUAUGCCCAAGGGAGAAGCAAGCAAAAUGUCUUGGGAAGACUUUGUGGUGCAACUCAAAUUGCAAUACUGCUCCGAGCAGGACCUUCUGGAAAUCAAUAAUGAGUUUUAGAAUUUGAAGAAGGAGAAAAUGAGCGUUACUGAAUACGUUGCUAGUUUCACAGAAAAGAUGAAGCUUAUCCCAUAUUGUGACAAUUAGAAAUUUCUAUCUUAUUCAGUCAUUCAAAUCAAUCAAGUUCAGACUUGUUUUGCUAUCUUCUAGCAUUGUUUAGAGUUAAUUAGAGUAUUCUAAGCCUUGUACCUUCAAAGUCAGGGUUUAGAAAUGGAUUCCACAAGUUCAACACUUCACAAAAUGGCCAAGCACUCCAACAUGAGGAGUGUACGACCAUAUACUUGGGUGUGCGGCCAUACAACCCCCUUUUGGCCGUACACUCUUAUGUAUAAAUGAGAGUCUUAACCUUCAUUCAACUCUUUUCACACUCCUAAGCCAAGAACUCAUUUUCUCUCAACUACCAUCCGAUUUUUCAUCUACUUCUUCAAGAUUGUAAGUGUUUCUUACUUUUUAUUGUUGAUUCCUUUCAUUAUCUUGUAUGGGUCAUUGAUUUCAUCCAUGAAAUCACUUCAUUUUGGUAGAUCAUCAAGUGUUCUUCAGUUUCACUAAGAACACCUACUAAGUUCUUGGACCUCAAACACCCUUAAAGGCUUCUAUAUGGUAAGUACUCCUUCCAAUGCUUGUUACUUACUAUAUGUGUGUCACACCCCCAAACCGGAACGACGGAAACGUUCGGGGGCGGAUGACUUCAUGUGGUAACGUAACAAAUGAAUACAUAGUAAAGAAAGCAAUACAACCAUCAUAUAUAUAAUUGAAAGUUUGCAUUGUUAAAAGGUACGUGUUCAAAACCAAUUACAAUAUGAUGCCAAAAUAUGAAUUUAAACUGGCGCUGCAGCGUCCCUUCUUCAAAAGCUAUUUGUUACCUGUAAUUACUGAAUCCCUGGGACAUACAAGUAGUUUGAAAGAGUAGAUCAGCAUUUAAGCUGGUGAGUUUCAUAAGUAUUAAAUGACAAUGUUUGUAUGAAAUGAAAUGUUUUGUUCUUGUUUGUUUGUUCCUAGAAAAUCCUAUAUUUUCUACUAGCAUAAAUGUAGCCUUCUUCCAAGACCAAUGUUUGUUUCUAGAAAAUGUAUGUACGUAUAAAAUUUCCAAUACGUCUGAAAAACCCCGUAAAUCAAUGUGUUUUUAAUACUCCAUGUGAGUUUUAUAACCAUGCUAUUGACUAGAAACGCCUAUACACAACGUUCUUCAGGCGUUGGAAUGUUCUGACGUUUGUCACCCCAAACGGUGGACUGUAGCUAACAGUCAGGGCGCGGGUUGUCAAGCCCGUAUAGAUCUAUACACAAACACCAUGCUCCCCCUCCAAGGGAUUCUGGUAUAUAAUAUAGGACUUGAAAUGCGUACUCGAACGUACGUGAAGUUGAUGUCUCACAAAACUUAGUAUAAAACAGAUUUACGUGAAAAAAAUGUUCGUUUGUUCUUGUAUAUGAAAGUAAACUUCUUGAAAUAGUGUUUCUAGUAUGUAAAAGUUUGUAAUGCUCUCGUAAAACUAUACCUAUUAUAGUUUUCUAAAAAUGUGUCUCGUUUGCAUAGUAAUCCCUAGUAAAAUGUUCACUUGUUAUGAAAAGUGUAAUUUUUGAUGUAGAAGACAAGUUUGUAAACAAAACAUAUAUAUGUAUAUUUUCGAUGUAGAAGACAAGUUUGUAAACAAAACAUAUAUAUGUAUAUUUUUGAUGUAGAAGACAAGUUUGUAAACAAAACAUAUAUAUGUAUAUGGUUAUAUAUAUGUAUAAAUUUUAAAAGAUGAUUUGGUAUGUUUCGUAAUUGUUGUUCAUAUUCUUACGUUUUUAUUAGAAACUUUGCAUGAAAUAAUCCUUAAGUUUGAUACUAAAGACCUUUUUGUACUUAUCACUUUUGUAAAAAUGGUAAUUAAACAUAUUUAAAUGAUUGUGUUUUAACUUCCUUAAUGUAUAAACAUUGCUCAAAAAUGUUAGAAGGUGUUAAUAAAUCUAUAAACCACUUUUGACAGUUUUACCCUUUACUGUCCCUGUUUUUAGAAAACUCAUAGAAAAAUCAUCGUAAGUCAAAAACUGAAUCCGUCACCUCUGAGAGUUUAUAAAAUGAGUCUACUUUGUUCCUAAUUUUUAUUAUGAUUUUUAGUGGCCUCAAACUAGUGUAAAACUGAGCAUAUUCACAGACUGGUCCGAAAUCACUUCUGAAAUGACAGGCAGUUUUAUAAAAAUCGCCAUAAAUUGUAGAAACAUCAUAUGAACGCGUUCGAGUAGUCCUUAGAAAGGUAUAAACUUGAACUAUUUGCGUAUUGUACAGUUUUGAAAGAUAUUAAGUUUAAGAUGGUCAAAACAGUCCGUGAACAGGACUCAACUUUUCUGUAGAAAGCUGUCAUUUAAAUUUAAGUUAUGUUUAGUGUUCUAACUUGUAUUCCCCCCCUUAAAACUUGAAUAAAACAUGAAAAUGUAGGGGUAUGAACUCACCUUAUGUGAAUACUUGAAGAAUGGAAGGUUGAAGAUGAACUUUUGGUUGUUGGUUUGAUGCUCCAAAACAGCCACUCUUUUGGCUAUGUUGCUGUCACGAAAAUUUCACAGCAAAAGAGCAAGAAAAAGGGUAGUUUACUCACUGUUUUGAAUCAAUAAUUUUGAGUAUCAAAACAAGUAACUUCCAGGGGUAUUUGGUGGUAAAAAUAUCAAGCAAAAGGAAGGUGUAGAUGGGUGAAAUGGUGGCUGAAACACAAAAGGGACAGCAGCCCUUUAGUUCAUGGUUUUGAUGGCUUUGGAAGGAAGUUCUUGUGCUUGAAAAUGAGAUGAAGGUUGAGAGUAAUUCCCUGGAGUAUUUGCUGGUGAAUUGAGGGUAAAAUGAAGAUGAAAUUUCGUGAUUAUGAAGGAGGAAAGGGUGGAAGAGGAUAAGGGGACAAUACCUAGACUAGCUUGUGAUGGGAUGUAAGUUUAAGUGAUGUGAUAUUGUCUAGCCACUUGCUUGGGUGGUUGCUUAGAGAUAGAGUUAGUUAACUAACUAACUACUAGUUAUUUAGUUAGUUAGGAGUUCUAGUUAAGGAGAGGGAAGGUCUUAAUCUCGAAAAUUAGAAGAGGGAUUAAGAAGCAUUCUUAGUAAAAUGUCUUAAGUGAUUAAGCACUUAUUAGUUAAGUUGACACUUAUCUCCACCAAUUCUCUUAUCUUAAUUGAUUUAGACAUCAUAAAACUUACAUGAAAUCACUUUAAGUCAUGAACCAUAACUAGUCAUUCACUAGAUAAUAAUACAUAUAUACAAAUACAUACAUGUAUACUUAGUAUAAAAUAACAAUGUAGUUUUUGUGUAUUUGAACUUUAAUGUUUAUGUUUUAUUCUUCUUAUUCAAAAACACUUAAAUACAUUUUAAUUAUACCUUAUAAUAAUUCAUUUUAUAUUUUAAUUUAUUUAAAUAUAAAAUUUAUUGACCAAUGUAUAAUUUCGUGACAUUUAACCGGUUAACCAUAUCAUUAAACACGUUUUGUCACUUUGGUUCGUAUAUUUGUCAAAUUUAGAUCCUCCACAACUAUUAAGCACACGUUUUACAUAGAACCUAACUUAAUUAUCAACUAGAUACAUGUUUAUACAAAACUUAAGUUUGUUGCAUUCAAAUGAUGUUAUAUGCUAAUUUUCACAAACCGGUGAUGGUUCGUAGUCAUACAUCAUAACUAAUUAGUUACUUGUUUUAUAUUUCACAAGAACUUAUUUAAAUAAAAGAGGUUAAAUUCCUUCAACCAUUCUUGAUAAAAUACUCAUAUUACUUAAUAAUCAAAACAUAGCAUCGUACGAUCGUUCCUAUUUUUACCAAUUGUUACAAUGUGCCCCUUAGAAAUCAUCGAAACCAUGAUCAUCAAGGAGUAUACGGCCGUACACACCCCAUGUGAUCGUACACCCCUUUGUUUAGUGCUUAAUGGCCUCAAACACAUGUUAUAUGCUAGCAAAUGAUCAAGAACAUUUAGAGGAUGCAAGAUAUAGCCUUGAAACACGACUUUUGACCAUUUCUUCAUGGAGUGUACGGCCGUACACUCCCUGGCCAUACACACCAGGCCAUACACCAAAGUAGCCAUACACCUGGUGGCCGUACACACACUUGUAUGGCCGUACACCCGUUAUUUUGCAGUCCUUUGCACUUCUAACACUUCAAAUCAAGUGUUUCCUAAGUCCUAGGGUGUUUUCCCUACAUGAUUAGUUGUAUAAACACUAAUUAUAUCCAUAUAUGUGCCAUUAUAUUCUUAUUAGGAUCCGUUGUGCUCAAUCCUUCAAUUGACACUUAGCAUCCUACAAACCGAUCUUUCAUUCGUAUCACUCACUGCAGGUGAGUUCAUACCCCUUAAUCUACCUUUUAAAUGAUUUUAAAUGCUUUUAUGGAGGGGGGAUACAAGUUGAAAACAUUAUAGUUAUUAUAUCAAUCGCAUGUGAUUAAUAACUAUCAAACAAGUGGAUUUCAUAUACUUCAAAAUUGUUUACUAGACAAACUCUUUAAAACAUUUUAUAAACUGACAUCAAGUCAUCUUUAUUAUUCAAAGGGUUAAAACUCUUUUUUUUUAUGUCAAACUCUUUUAUGCUAAAACUCUUUACUAAAAUCUUAUAAACUUAUAUAUUGUCAAAAUCAUGUCUAUAUAGAUAUAGUUAUAUAAGUAAGGUUGAAAGGACUUAGGACUAAUAACUCGCUUUAUUUCAUGUUCAUUGUUUGGUUGUGGACUCAGAGUAUCCGGUUGUUUGUCCAAGUAUCGUUUGAACCUUAAUUAUCUAUUAUGUAUAUGUAUAUAGAUAUAAAAGCUUUUAUGUUAGUUCAACACUUUUGGGUUGCAAAGGUGCACAAACACACUCAGUCAUUCAAACAACAUUACUAGUAAACUAUAAUAGGUAUAGUUUAGGAGAUUACUACUCACUAUUUCUAGUACAAUGAAACAGACAAGAGUCAGUUCAUUCAUGAGUCAAUACAAACUUACUAUUAUGAGAAACGGAAAGAACAUACUAUGAUGAGAAACUAAGAGAACAUACGCUACAUUAUACAAAGAGAACAUACUAUACACCAGUACAGAGAGAACAUACAAUACACUAGAACAUACUAUACAAACACUAAAUUACUAUAACAUCAAUGUGAGCCACUACUUCAUGACAUGGAAAUCUACUGAUGUGUCACGUUUUGUAACCAGAGUCUCCUGGAGGGAGACCGUGAAUUUGUGUAUAGAUCUAUAUGGGACUGACCAUCCUACACCUUGCUGCUAGCUACAGUAGGACCUGCAGGUCUACGGGUGACGAAUGUCAUACCAUUUUGNNNNNNNNNNNNNNNGCGUCGUGUUUUACUAAGUCGAUCAAGUAUGGUUACAAUCAUAUCACAUUAUACCUUAAUUAACAAUUGGUUUAAGGUAGUUAGUACAACAAUAGUUAUUAUAUACAACACUACAGUACUUUAUUAUUUUUCCCGUUGCAUUCAGAUUGUGAUCUUCUCACAUAAACGGUAAUGUAAAAGUAUAUUAUUGGUCAAUGAUAGUCACACUUGGGAAAAUACACACUUUUACAAGAAAAAAACAUUCAAAACAUUCGGGUCUUGGUAGAAGGCUACAUUUUAGUAGAAAAUAUAGGAUUUUCUAGGAGUAACAACAUUUACAAACACUUUUCAUACUAACAAUGAAACUAAAAUACUUAUAAACUCACCAGCUUAAAUGCUGAUCAUCUCUUUCAAAAUAACUUGUAUUCUCAGGUUAUCAGUACACAGGUACCGAUGCCAGGUUUUGAGAAGAUGGAGCUUUCAAGACUCAUCUUUAUUUUGAGUAUUCAUUUUGGUGUCAUAUAACUAUAUGCAAAACACACUUGUAUUGAAUUAUAUUAUUAAUGCAAUGGAUGAUGUUGUUGCUUGUUUACUAUUAUGCAUUGUUAUGAUACUGUACAUGACGUCCUCCACCCCCGAAUAUUUCCGCCAAUUCGGUUUGGGGGUGUGAUACAUAUUUAGUUCCAACUGAACUCGCUAAGGUCAACAAGUUUUCCCUCGGACUACCAGCACACUAUGGUCCAAUGGUUAAGCAAGCAACCACAUUGAAAGCCGCCAUCUGGGCUGCUAGAAAUGUUGAGACCCAUAUCAGGGAGAAAGGUCUGGAGAGGUCAUAGGGUGGUGAGAAUAGGAAGUUCGACGGACCUUCAUGGUCCAGCGAAAAGGGUAAAUUCUUGAAGUCUAGUUCGAGAGGAGGUGGAGGAGGCGAAGCGAAAUGGUGCGAAAAAUGCAAGAAGAAGCAUCUUGGGAAAUGUGGUGAGGAAGCCACAUGCUUCAAAUGUGGAAAACCAGGGCUCUACGCCAACGAAUGCACCCUUAACAAAAAAAAGUCUGCUAUGGGUGUGGUGAGGAGGGGCACAUCUCGAGGGAUUGUCCGAAAAAGAAUGUGGCAGCAAAGCCUAAUAUUCCACCAAAGACGAAGGCGAGAGCCUUCCAGAUGACACUGGAAGCAGCGCAAGAUGAAGUUGAUGUCGCUUCAGGUACCUUUCUCGUAAACAGAUUGCCUGCCCAAUUUUUAUUUGAUUUUGGAGCUAAAUACUCCGUUAUUUCGCAUGAAUUAGGUAGAAAACUAGCUUUACCUGUCGAUAGACUAGAUAACGCUUUAUUAUUCGAAGUUGCUAGUGGCAAGUUUGUACCUGUUAGCCAUCGUAUCAAAAACAUCUUAAUUGAUUUGAAUGGGAAUAAGUUCCACGAGGAAUUAUUGCCUAUUGAGUUAAAUGGUUUCGACAUCGUGCUUGGAAUGGAUUGGCUUAGUGCCAAUGAUGCCGAGAUAUUAUGCAAGAAGAAGAUAGUCAAAGUAAACCCGCCAGGAAAAGAGUCAUUUAUGAUGUAUGGGGACAAACGCAGAGUAAAUUCUGGAAUCAUUUCUCUAAUGAAAGCAGAAAGUGUUUGGCCAAAGGAUGUACAUCUCUAAUGAAAGCAGAAAGUGUUUGGCCAAAGGAUGUACAUCAUAUUUGGCAUUCGUGAUCGAUGCUAAGAAGGAGAAAAAUGAGAUGUAGAGAAUUCCUAUCGUGUGUGAUUAUCCGAAAGUAUUUCCCGAAGAUCUUCCCGGAUAACCGCCUGAUAGACAAGUGGAGUUCAUAAUAGACUUGUUACUAGGGACGACGCCAAUAGAAAAUGCACCUUACAGACUAGCACCAACGGAGAUGAAGGAGCUGAUGAUGCAACUUCAAGAGUUAUUAGAUAAAGGUUUCAUUAGGCCUAGUUCGUCACCCUAAGGAGCUUCGAUGUUAUUCAUAAAGAAAAAGGAUGGGAGAAUGAGGAUGUGCAUCGAUUACAGAGAGCUGAAGAAGGAAACAAUAAAGAAUAGAUAUAUGUUGCCGAGGAUUGAUGACCUGUUCGAUCAACUACAAGGUUCAAGUUAUUUUUCAAAGAUCGACCUAAGGUCAGGAUAUCAUCAGCUAAAAGUAAGGAAGCAGGAUAUCGAGAAGACUGAAUUCAACACACCAUAUUGACACUACGAGUUUUUGGUGUAAAGGCCCGUUUAUUUAUUAAAUAAAUAAAUUAAUUAAUGAACGAAUUGAAGCCCUAAAAUAAAUAAUUUUAUAGCAAGGUGAUGGUCUCGUAGAGCUAAUCGUCACACUUUAAGAGAUUAGGGAUUAAAAGUGUAAUUUUCAGACUCAGCUUAUAAUUAUUUAUGAAGACAGGGGCUGACGGCUAGCAAUUAGGACUCAAUAUGAAAGGAACUAUGGAACUAAGGGAUAAAAUGUAAAUUCUGAGUUAUAUUGUAAAGAUUUAUGAAAUCGGGGGUUAAUAAGGUAAAUCCUGGAUUAGUUUUGAAAAUAUUUCCAAGGCGGAGGGCUGUUAUGUAAAUAUUGUACUUAAAUUGUAAGGGAUUAUGAUUAUGAGGGUUUACAUGGUAAAUAUCGGCCCUAAUUUGAAAGAAAUGAGGAAAGGAGGGACUAAUGUUGUUAAUAUGGAUGGAAGUUUGUUAGGAGCGGGAUAUAUGAACCCACAUCCCCGAUUGCCCUAACCCUAGAAACGCAUUUCAGCCAUCAACCCGCUACCACCUUAUACCUCCCUCAUCUCCAGCGGCCGUUCCCUCCUUCGUCGAUAUUGCUAACCACCGAUCGAGUGACUCUGGCAACAAGCGUGAAGGACGAGACUGUGGCUGCUGCUGCUAUUUCCCGAAUGCUACUCUUUCUCUCCUUCUCUUUCUUCUGAUUCGAUCCUCGUUGGGCUGCGCCACCGUCACUAAACACCACAUGUGGCUUCAUCGUUGUUGCCGCUGCAAUCGUGGCUCGAGUCGCUGCUCUAGCAAUCGCAAAAUGCCAUCGUGAGCACCGCUGUCGCCGCCGUUUGGCACGUUUUGUUGCUCUGGUCACCAUUUGCCAUCUCUAAAUGUCAUUGUGUUCGUGUGUGGACUGUCGGUCGUGUAGGGUUAUGAAGAACCACCAUGGCAGCCGGCCAUGGUGGCUACUACCGUCCACAGGUCGAUUAUUUGUCGCUGCCAUCUCAGAUUCACUAUUGCCACCGUCGGGAGCCACCAGGUGGGUGGCUGGUGCCUGAACCACUCUUCAAAAUGUGUGUGUGUGUGUGUUUUUUGUGUGUGUGCGUCGUGAGUGGCUUGUUUGGCCGGAAUAUCAAGAACAACCACCGCCACCACCGUGAGGUGGUGGNNNNNNNNNNNNNNNNNNNNNNNNNNNNNNNNNNNNNNNNNNNNNNNNNNNNNNNNNNNNNNNNNNNNNNNNNNNNNNNNNNNNNNNNNNNNNNNNNNNCCACCACCUUAGGGUAGUGGUUGCCGCCUCUUGCCGCCACCGGCCGCUAUGUCGGGUGGCGGUGUGCUUGUCUUGUGAGUUGACUCGAUUGGGAAUGCUUGAAACCCUAAUGGGCCUAAGGAAGCUCAAAUGGGCCCAAUGAAGCUUAAUGGACUCCAAUGGACCCUAAUAAAACCCUAAUGAGCUUAAUGGCAUUCUAGUGGGCUUGAUUGGCCCAAUAAAGCCCUAAAUAACCUAAAAGUCCAACAAAUUAAUAAAUGGGCUAGUAUUUGGGGUUAGAAACCCUAAUGCAAUCAAAACCCUAAUUUUGGGAAAUUAAUCGGGACAUGGGAAUUAUUUAACAACUUGGAAUAUUAAAUAAUAAUUAUUGGCAGAAAUUAAUCUAAGCAAUAUUGGACUUAAUGGAUUAAGUCCUUAAUGGGUUAAGUAGGAAACUUAACCCUAAUCAUCAUUUUAGGAGAAACCCUAAUUUCACUUGGGUUUAUUGUUGGGCCUUUCUAUUAGGCUUCGAUGUUUGGGCUAUUAAAUAGACUAUCCAAGAUCAAGCAAAUGGUCUCGAGUAAUUUAAUGGGCCUAGGGUAAGGCCCAUGUAAGGGGCUUGGGCCCAAUUUGGAAAACUAGGCCAUAAAUGGGCCUUAGUUUGGGCCUUAAUGAGUAUAUGAUGUUGGACCUUAGAAUGAGACCAUGUAUAGGCCUAGGCCUAAUUUGAAAAAUUGGGCCAUGUGUUGGGCUUUGAUUCCUAAUUGACUUUGGGCCUACGGAUUGGGCCUUGGGCUUGAAUAAGCCAAGCUAAGGGUAAUGUAGUAGUUACCCAAAGAAUGUACGUACGGUUAUGUAUUGGGACCCAAUUAAUAAUUGGGUCUUAUUUUCGUGUUGACAGUUCAGGAAUCUGUUAGCCAGCAGCUGGGGUCGAGUCUGCGGGACUUUAGCAAGUGUGGGAUUGUGUCUGCGGGACUUCAACAAGUGUGGGAUUGUGUCUUCGGGACUUCAGCAGUGUGAGGUGAGUUACCUUCCAGUAGCGGUGGGUCUAAGGCCACAAUGUCGGCCCACCAGUAGGAGACGUAUGAUAGAUGAUUGUCUCUGUGAUAUCAUCUAGGUUUGCUACUACCUGAUAUGUUAUAUGCUAGCAUGAUAUGUUAUAUGUGAUAGUAGUAGAGUUCGGUUGUUAGGACCGGAGGGUAGUCAGACAUCCUAGAUACGUCUAACAGUAUGUGAUUUUAUGUUUAUAUGCUAGCAUGGCCUGUUAUAUGAGUUAGAGGUAGUAGGAGGGGAGCAGUCCCCGAGUUCGGUUGUUAGGACCGAAGGGUAGUUCAGACACCCCAGAUAUGUCUGAUAAUAUGUUAUGUUAUGAUAUGUGAUAGUAGUAGUAGUAGGGGGUGAAAUAGUCCCCGAGGUUCGGUCGUUAGGACCGAAUGGUAGUCAGCACCCCAGAAUGGCUUGACAUGGGUAGUCAGCACCCCAGAAUGGCUUGACACGGGUAGGACGGCACCCCAGAAUGGCCGCAUAGGUAGGCCGACACCCCAGAAAGGCCUUACCGGGUAGGUCGGGCACCCCAAAAAUGCCUGGCAGUAUGUAUGUUAUGUGAUUGUGUGGUAUGUGGUAUGAUGGGGGAACUCACUAAGCUUUGUGCUUACGGUUUUCAGUUUUGGUUUCAGGUAGUUCGUUUUCAAAGGGAAGGAGCCGGCUCGAUCGCAGCGCAUCACACUAUGGUUUUCCGCACAUGAGAUCUUUGGGAUUACACUCUGAUAUUGUUUUAUGAUAACACAUUUGAUUAUUUCUACUUUGGUUUUGAACUGACAUGGUAUUACAUAUGUUUUAUUACACUGUUGGUUUUAUAAUGACGUAUUUAAAAAUGAAAUUUUUGGCCUGUAUUUUUGGGAUGUUACAUUUGGUUAUGUCGUUUGGACUAACCAAUCCUCCCGCAACAUUCAUGAAUUUGAUGAACAGGGUUUGUAAACCAUUCCUUCAUAAAUAUGUGAUAGUGUUCAUAGAUGACAUUCUGAUUUACUCGAAAAGCCAAGAGGAGCAUGGCAGACACUUGCGAGAAGUGUUAGAAGUCUUGAAGAAGGAGAAGUUGUAUGCUAAGUUCUCCAAAUGUGAUUUGUGGAUUCGAGAAGUCCAAUUCUUGGGUCACGUGGUCAACCAAGAAGUGAUAAUGGUUGAUCCAGCGAAGAUUGAAGCUUUGAUGAAGUGUGAACAACCAAAAAGUUGCACGGAGAUCCGAAGCUUUCUAGGAUUAGUCGGAUAUUACCGAAGGUUUAUCCAAGGCUUUUCUUCGAUCGCUACUCCAUUAAAAGCUUUAACUCACAAAGAAGCUACUUAUGCUUGGAGUGAUAAGCACAAAGAAGCAUUCGAGUUGCUAAAGAAGAAGCCUUGUGAGGCACCAAUUCUUUCUCUACCUGAUAGAGUUGAAGAAUUCGCUGUUUAUAGCGAUGCAUCUGCUCUUAGGUUGGGGUGUGUUUUGACCCAAAGGGAAAAGGUGAUAGCAUAUGCGUCUCGACGGCUGAAAGAGCAUGAAAAGAACUACGCCACUCAUGAUUUGGAGCUGGCAGUGGUAGUAUUUGCUCUAAAAAUAUGGAGGCAUUACCUCUAUGGCUUAAAGUGCAAACUUUUCACUGAUCACAAGAGUCUCCAAUAUCUCUUUAAUUAGAAAGAAUUGAAUAUGAGGCAACGUCGCUGGCUAGAGUUACUCAAGGACUACGACUGUGAGAUACUUUACCACCCUGGUAAAGCUAAUGUUGUCGCUAAUGCUCUCAGUCGGAAAGUAAAUCUUGAAAGAAAAAUGCCAAGAGCGUUGAUAAUAGAAUUUAUCUCGACAAUUAUGGAGAGUAUAAAGAAAAAUCAAGAGGAAACUUCUGAGAAGAAUGACCGAAAGGGAGAACGUUUGGUCAAAACGUUAGUGUUCGGUACAAACAGUCACGAACUGAAGGUAUUCCAAGAUCGAAUUUGGGUGCCUAAGUCAGGAGGGAUAAGAGAUCUUCUGAUGGAAGAAGCUCACAAAACCAUGUACUCAAUUCAUCCUGGCAGCACUAAAAUGUAUAGGGACCUAAAACCCUACUACGUGGCGGAGUGUGUGACAUGUGCACGGGUAAAGGAACAACAUCAGAAAGCAUACGAUAGUUUAGAUGUUUUACCUGUGCCUAUGGGUAAAUGGGAAGACAUUGUUAUGGAUUUUGUCACUAAAAUGCCCAGAACAAAGAACGGUCACGACAUGAUUUGGGUGGUCGUUGAUCGCUUCACUAAGAGUGCGCAUUUCAUAGCAGCCAAUGAGAAAUGGUAUAUGGAUAAGCUUGCGAUUUCUUACGUGAAGGAAAUUAUGAGGCUUCAUAGUGUUCCGUUAACGAUUAUGUUAGAUCGUGACAUCCAUUUCACCUCGCGAUUUUGGAGAAGUCUACAGGAGGAAUUGGGUACCAAGUUGUGUAUGAGUACAACUUACCAUCCACAGACUGAUGGUCAGAGCGAACGAACGAUACAAGCGCUUGAAGAUAUGCUGAGAGCAUGUACCCUAGAAUUCGAAGGCAACUGGGAUGAACAUUUGCCUUUGGUAGAAUUUUCUUUCAAUAAUAGUUUCCACUCGAGCAUAAAGAUGGCACCUUAUCAAGCUAUGUACGGGCAAAAAUGUUGUAUGCCAUCUUGUUGGCUUGAGGCUGGGGAAAAGCAGUUUAUGGGACCCGAGAUAGUCCAUCAAACUGUUGAAUAGUUGAAAAUAAUUAGGGAGAGAAUGUUAGCAGCUCAGGAUCGUCUAAACAGUUAUGUUGACAACAAGCGAAGACCGAUGACUUUUGAAGUUGGAGAUUCGGUUUUGCUUAAAGUCUCACUGUGGAAGGGACUUAUACGAUUUAGUAAAAGGGGAAAGUUAAGUCCAAGGUUUAUUAGACCGUUUAAAGUUCUUCAGAGGAUUGGGAACCAAGCUUACAACUAGAAGUACACGAAGAACUGAAUGGUAUUCAUAACACUUUCCAUGUGUGUUAUUUGAGGAAGUUAACGGGAGAAGUUCCUGAUCUAAUUCCAAUUUUUGAAUUAAGAAUUAAUGAGAACAAGAGGUUAAUUGAAGAACCAGAGGCAAUUGUUGAUCGAAAGACUAAGAAGUUGCGAUGCAAGAUGGUCGAGUUAGUGCUUGUCCAUUGGAAACAUACGAAUGUGCCAAAUCUCUCCUGGGAGACGGAGAGUGACAUGAUGAGUCGCUAUCCGCAUUUGUUUGUUGAUGUGUGAUUCCGGGGACAGAAUCAUCCUAAGGUGGAGAGAAUUGUAACACCCGUGUUUUUGGGCUAGGCAGUAAUGACGAUCUAAUAGUCUAGGUUAACCUUUAUAACUCAUUUUGAAAUAAUAAGAAUGUAUUAUUUGAGUAUUAUGUGUUUUAUGUUUAAUUGAAUUAAGAAUAAAAAUAAGCGUAAAAAUAAAAUGUUAGAUAAAACCGAUAUCGAUACCUGAAGACGUAGUGGUCGUGACAAGGAUUUCGGAUAUAUAAAGAAUGCUGAAAUCCGAGUUAUAACGAAGAAGUUAUGACAUGUCGAAGUUUCGCGGCAAAACCGGUAUGACACUGCACAACGUAAAUAGUGAAUUUACGUUAGAGCGAUAUUUAGCCUUAGUGAUCUAAACUAAAGUCGUAGAAUACGUUAAACCAAGAGCAUACAUAAAAAGAACGUCUAAAUCUGACUUUGUAUGAGGAAGUUAUGAAUUUCUGAAGUUUCGACUAAGCGGUAUACAACCCAAAGUUCGGAUAUGAGAUCGAGUGAUUUCUAGCCGAAAAAAUCUAAACGAGAAUCGUAGAUCUCGUCGAUAGUAGUGCAACGAAAGAAAGACCGACGAAAACGGACGUCAGAUAAAGAAGUUAUCAAUUUCUAACGGAGUUUUCCUGUCCCGGCCUACUAAAAAUAAUAUAAUAAAAAUAAAGUGAAAAUUAGCCGAUGGAGUCUAAAUGAGAGUUGUAGAGCAUAAUCUCACCUACGCAUGGAUAUAAAGAACGUUGAAAACGGAGAUAGUAUGCGAUAGUUAUGAUUAUCUGAAGUUCAAGGCACGCAUCCCAAAGGGGGAACGCCCUGCGUUCAUAACUUGACCCCAGAUUGGCCACGUCGAUGUUGGUUGGUUAAAUUAAAUAUAACUAUUUAUUGUGGGUUGAAAACCCUAUAUCCUCACCAGGCUCUCAAGCCUGACCCACUCAGUUUUAUUUGUAUUACAGGUAGUGACGCGAGAGCAUAAGUUGGAUAACUUGUGAAGAUAUUUUUUUCAUAGGCUAGUAGUUGUGUAUAACUGUUGUAAGGCUUAUAAUAUGCCGUUUAUGCUUUUGUGUCUGUAUCGGAACAUGACAUCCCGAGUUUUGAUAUAUAAUGAAAAUACAUUUCUUUAAGGAAUACUUUGAUAAAUUUUAUUUAUCAUAUUUUGUUUUGGGAACAAAUUCUGCAACUCUUUUAAAUCAAAGGAUUACUAUGAAAAAUAUUUUAAAAGCAUAAAUUAAAUCAGUCUUUUCUGGCCGUGGGUCUCCGAUGAAGUUCUUUAGCCAUAUUGCCAAUUUUGACGCUUCGCUUGCUGCUAUGUACUCUAGUUCACACAUUAAAUCAGCUACAGUCUCCUGUUUGGAACUAUUCCAUGUUAUUGCUCCUCCAUUUAGGGUAAACACUCAGCCCGACUGAGAGCAAAAAUUAUCUCUGUCGGUCUGAAAAUUGUCAUCACUAUACCCUGUUACUCUCAAGUCAUCACUCCUACUGAGGGUAAGGAUCCAAUCCUUAGUCCUCCAUAGGUACUUAAGAAUGUUCUUUACCACAAUCCGGUGAGCUCUACCAGGAUUCCCCUGAUAUAUGCCAACCAUGCUCAAAGGAAAGGCCACAUCAGGGCGAGUACAUGUCAUAGCAUACAUGAUCGAGCCAACUAUGGAAGCAUAUGGUAUUCGACUCAUUUAUGCUAUUUCGGCAUCUGUACUCAAGAUCUGAGUCUUACUCAAUUUGGUAUUGCUCUGGAUAGGCAAUUCUCCUUUCUUAGAAAUCUCCAUGCUGAAACGUUUCAACACCUUGUCCAAGUAGGUACUUUGAUUAAGUCCUAUUAGUCUUUUUGCUCCUAUUUAUCAAUAUCCUUAUCCCUAGAAUGUAAGCAGCUUCCCGGAGGUCCUUCAUAGCGAAACACUUCCCAAGCUAGGACUUAACCUCCUGCAAGGUUGGGACGUCAUUUCCUACGAGUAGUAUGUCAUGUACAUACAAUACCAAAAAGCUAACUAUACUCCCACUAGACUUGACAUACACACUGGACUCAUCCUCACUUCUCGAAAAUCCAAACUCUUUGACUUUCUCAUCGAAACAAAGAUUUCAUCUACGAGAUACUUGUUUCAAUGCAUAAAUGGAGUUCUCAAGCUCGCACACUCUAGUAGGGUAAUUUGCAUUAAUGAAACCCUCUGGCUGACUCAUGUAAACAUCUUCAGCCAACUUUCCAUUAAGCAUAACCCUUAUAGAUUUGAUCUUCGCUACUGGUGAGAAGGUAUCAUCAUAGUCAACUCCAGGAGUUUGAGUAAAGCCUUUCGCAACCAAUCGCGCCUUUUAUGUGUGUACUUUCCCAUCCAUGUCGGACUUCUUAUUGAAGAUCCACUUGCACCCGACUGUCUUGCGACCCGGUACAUUGUCAACCAAGUUCCAAACUUGAUUAUCAUACAUGGACUGAAUUUCGCUAUCCAUAGCCUCCUUCCAUUUUGAAGACUCGGGGCCCGCCAUGGCUUCCUUGUAGUUGUUAGGUUCAUUCAAAUUUAUCAAUGUACUAUCAUUGAUAAGCAUAUCACCAUCUGUAAUAAUAUGGAAACCAUAAAACUCAGGUGCCAUUCUAACUCUAAUGGAACAUCUCAGAGGUAAGGACUCGUCAACUGAUUCAACAAGAGUUUCCUCCUAGGGUUGAGCGCUAGUUUUUGAGGUUCCUGCAUCACAUAACUCUUGAAGCUCUUCAAGGUCAAUUUGCCUCCCACUGUCCUCUUGGCAUAUGAGUUCUCUUUCAUGGAAAACCCCUCUCCUCGCAACAAAGACAACAUUGUCACUCGGUCUAUGGAAGAGAUAUCCAAAAGAUUUCUGUGGGUACCCGAUGAAAAUACAAUGCUUACUAUAAGGUUCGAGCUUUUCUUUAGUCUCUCGUCUUACAAAAGCCUCGCAACCCCAAACCCUGAUGUGUGCAAACGAGGGAACCUUCCUUAUCCACAUUUCAUGAGGUGUUUUGGCAACCUUCUUAGUUGGGACUAGAUUAAGGAUAUGGGCGGCAGUCUAUAAGGCAUACCCCUAGAAUGAGAUAGGUAAUGAAGCUCAACUCAUCAUGGAACGAACCAUGUCCAACAAGGUUCGAUUGCGCCACUCAGGCACACCAUUCACCUGCGUCGUCCGUGGCAGCGUCAAUUGUGAAAUGAUUCCACAUUCCUUAUGAUAGUCGUGGAACUCGAUACUAAGAUACUCACCACCUCGAUCGGAUCGGAGCACCUUUAUCUUCUUGCCUAAUUGAUUCACCUCUUCUUGCUUAAACUCUUUGAACUUUUCAAAGGUUUCUGACUUAUGUUUGAUUAAGUAGAUAUACCCCAUAUAUGCUAUAAUCAUCGGUAAAAGUCACAUACAAGAGAUUAGCAUCCCUUGUGGUGGAUCUGAAGGGCCCACAUACAUCGGUGUGUAUGAGAUCAAACAAACUCUCACCUCUUUCACAAGUACCAGUGAAAGGUGUCUUAGUCAUCUUUCCUAGCAAACAAGAUUCGCACAUGUCAAACGACUUUAAGUCAAAUGACUCCAACACUCCAUCCUUUUGGAGUUGGGCUAUGCACUUCUUGUUGACAUGUCCAAGACGAUAAUGCCACAAGCAUGCUUUGUCCAAACCAUUGGACGAAUCAAUAUGCCAUACAUUAUUUCCUAAGUUCUCUACAACCAUCACAAUUUCAUAUAUACCAUUACAAGGCAAUGCUUCAAAAUAAAAAAUCCCAUUAUAAAAAGCAUUUAUAGAACCAGUUUCAUUAUUAAAUGAAAACCUAAAACCUUGUUUAUACAAACCAUGAAAAGAAAUAAUGUUUCUCACCAUAUCUGACGAGUAGCAACAAUUAUUCAAAUCUAAGUGUAACGCCCCGUUUCUGGUACAUAUUUGAUCUACUUUUAUAUCAUUUGUUUCUGGUACAUAUUUGAUUCCGCGCUUGGACUCGACGAGUAGGCCGGUUUGGAUGAAAUCCUAAUUAAAGGGUUUGCACCCUAUUUAAACAACAUUAUGAGCUUCAAGUCCAGCCUCCAUCACCUCCAGGGCAUUUCUUUACAAACCCUAAUUUCCUUUUGGCAAUCUUGAGCUAUCUUAGUGACUCGGAGGGUUUUUGGUGCAUUGUGUAUCUAGUGGAAGAUUUGGAAGGAAGAAGGAUCAAGGGAGAAGGACUAGAUACAGGAGCAACAUCAGUUUCUCUUUACCUUCAUGUAAUCAAGCUCAAAACUUGACUUGUGGUUUUAUAGAUUUUCUGCUUUGCCCCUUUAUGGAGUUUUGGGGUCAAUAAGCUUGAUCCUUAAGACUUGGACAUCCCAAGUCGAUUCACCUUUAGAUCUAGACUCUAGAACCAAGUUCUUCGCAUAAAGAUGCAAGCUUUAUGGCCAUAUUAGCCCAUGCACCCCUUUAGACCUCAUUUUGGGUCCUUAAAGCUUACACUUCCAUGCAUGCACGUUAAGUUCAUAACCUUACAUGCUAGAUCGAUCUUAGAAGCCCAGAUCUAUCUUUUGGAUAAGAGUUGUACUCUAGAAAUCGAGAUAAUAGACUUGGACAAUAGGUGACUCGACGAGUUGUUCUUGGAACUCGGUGAGUCGAGGCUUCAGUCCCCAAUUUGUUGUGGUUCAAAGGGACCUAACUAAGUGAUAACAAGCAUUUAGACGAGUCCAGAUGAGUGAUUCGACAUGUUAAGAUAUAGCCUCAAUCUGGAAAUCAUGGGACUCGACGAGUGUUAGAACACACUCGGCGAGUCCAAGGCAAUCUCCUUAACCAUAAGAACAGACUCGACGAGUUGUUCAUACAACUCAGCGAGUCAUAGUCUGGACGUGUGCAUAUGGUGAAGAUGAACUCGACGAGUUGUUCAUACAAGUCGACAAAUCGGAUGAAGAUUGACUCGAGGAAUUAUAGAAGGAUAACUCGUCGGGUAUUUGCUAAGCUUGACGAGUAGAACCGGGUAAGGGUCAGAAGAAAGGAUAAGGACUCGGUGAGUUGGCAGCCAACUCGGCGAUUCGGGACCCGUGGAAGUUGACUUUGACCAGGGGUAAAAUAGUCACUUUACCCUAGGAUUGGUUAUCAGUAUUUGAUUAAGUGUCUUUGUGGGAAUUAUAGUCGGGGAGUUACUGAAGCAGCAGACAGACAGUUCCCGAUCAACAUUUCCGCAGUUAGCCUUACGAGGUGGGUUUCCUUCCAGUAGGAACGGGUCUACGGCUAUAAUGUCGGCCCAUUUAGAUAGCAGUAGUUUAGUAUGCUUGAUGUCUUUGUGAUUUAGGCAUGUCUAUGUGUUAUGUGUUUCGGGUUGCGGUCUGAUGUAGUAUGCAGUACAUGUGCUAUUGUUAUAUGCUAUGAUUAUGUUAUGUUAUGUUUAGACAGUUCCGGACUCCGGUCCGAUGCGGUGGGCAAGGCCCUAGUUAGUUCCGGACUUCAUUCCGAUGCAGUGGGCAAGGCCCUAGUUAGUUCCAGACUUCGGUCCGAUGCAGUGGGCAAGGCCCUAGUUAGUUGCGUACUUUGGUCCGAUGCAGUGGGCAAGGCCCAAGUCAGUUCUGAACUUCGGUCUGAUGCAGAGGGCGAGGCCCUAAUCAGUUCCAGACUUCAGUAUGAUGCAGUGGGCAAGGCCCAGUAUGUGCUUUAUUUGUUAUUGCAUGGUAUGUGGUAGUUUGGGGGAGCUCACUAAGCUUCAUGCUUCUAGUUUUCGGUUUUGGUUUCUGGUACUUUAGCUAGCAAGGGGAAGUGCUCAGGUUGAUGGCAUGGCACACAACACAGUUUAACCUGGGAGUUAGACUCUGAUAUUUUGGCACCAUCAUGACAUCAGAUUUGAUUUGAUACAUUUAUUGUAACAUAUUGAGAUACACGGCUUAUGGUUUUGUUAUAUGAAAUUUGGAUAUUAUGCUUUUAGUAAUGUUUUCAAAUUAAAUUUUUGGCUUGUAUUUUUAGGUUGUUACAAGUUGGUAUCAGAGCGUUAGUUUGAGGGAUUCGGGCACACUCUUGGGUGUGUCUGAACUCAAACUAAGGAAAUGGUAUAAGGUUUUCAAAAGAAAAACAUUUUCGAAAGAAACUUUUGAAAAAGAAACUUAAAAGAAAAGAGUUUUUGAAAAAGAUAAAGAAGAGGUGUGGUGCAUGCGAUCGACCGAGCUCAAGUAAGUACUCCCAAAUUACCAAUACAAGACGUUUAUGUUAUGAUUAUCAGUUUCAGUAGAACAGCAUGCUAGAAUAGGACUAAGGAUCUAGGACGGAUGCAUUAUAUGCCCGCUAUAUGUGUUUAAGCUUUAUGAGAAUUGCAUGACUAGUAUCGACUAAAUAGUAGUAGGAUAGCCUGUUUAGGUUAUGCCUGAUAGUAUGAGCUUAGAAUCUUAUGGUAGUACAGAUUCUUGUUAGAAUAGAAUUGCUUGGAUUAGAUUUCCCUUUUUGUCUGAGUGCUACUUGCUUGGUGCCUUGUGGGACUCUGAGUGAUCGGAGUUGGCCAUUAUGUAAAUACGUCACGCCACAUGUGAUCAGGGUUGAAUAAUCUCAGAGGGCUGGAUUUGGCCCUAUUGCACAGCUCUCGUUUGAGUCUAACCAUUGUAAGGACGAGUCCUUUACUCGAAGGAUUAUCCGAGCCUUGUCACAUGUGAUGGUAUUCAGGUAGUGGCUAAUUGGCAUUACAAAGAUUCCUUUAGUAGCUGAGGAUUGGGUGCGGGUUGGAGGGUCCCUAGGGCAAGCCUAGGAUGAGAGUAGCCAAGAAUAGUAGUAGUAGAAGGGACUUGGUGGAGUCAAGGCAAUUCUUGAGGAAAGUACAGAUAGAUGUGGAAGGUAGUAUGGGCCGGUACUAUUGAAAGCAGAGGAUCCGUACUCGAAUCAAGGAGGGCUGAGAUAAGAUCAGGGAAAUCGUAGUAGAUAUGAUCCCUCGAGAUAUAAUUCUAUUCUGAUGUUGUCGUUAUGUGUUUUCAGAAUGGUAGUCUUGCACCCUAGACCAGCAGUCGGCAGUUCUGGUGCCGGAGAGGGAUCAGGUUCAGGCUCGGGGGUCGAGCAUUUGGAUGAGCAGACUAGGGAGUUCAUUUCCUCAAACAUCACAUGCAACAUACUUGAGCAGACUCCUGUGAUCUUUGGUUCGAUCAAGGAGGGUAUUUUUGAGUACGUUCCGAGCUGAGGUAGCGGCCAUGAUGGGGUCGCGCACGCUCACAUUCAGGGAGUUAAGGGCUUAUGGAGCUCCAGAUUACCAGGGGCCCGAGACCCCAUUGUGAGUACCAGAUGGUUGGCUAAUGUGGCUAAUGCUUUCCACACUACCAGAUGUCCCGAGGGGGACAAGGUCCGACUUGCAUCCAGUCUUUUGAAGGGCAGGGCACAUGAUUGGUGGGAGAAGGUCAGACAUGUCAUCGGGGAUGACGCAACUCUUAAUUCUAUGAACUGGAUGGAUUUCACAACUAGGUUCAGAGCUGAGUUCGCACCUGUUAUUGAGGUGCAGCAGCUUGCUAGAGAGUUCCAAGAUCUCCAGCAAAACGAUAGAGACAGUGGCGGAGAUUAUCGCCAAGUUCAAGGAGAGGGCUCUUCUCGUUCCUUAGUACGCGGCAGACAAGGAGAUGAAGAAGGCCCGAUACCAUGAGAUGUUGAGGAGUGAUAUCAGACAGUUUGUGAGUCGUUCCAGCUGUAAAACGCUGGAUGACAUGAUUGCGAGGGUUCGUUAGAGGGAGAUUGAUUUAGAGAUGGAGAGGAAGAGGAAGCCAGAGGUGGUAUCUGGCACAGGGAGUUCGAGCAAAAAGCCCAAGGUAUCCGAUCACAGACCUAGGGGACAGCAGAGCCACAGUCAGUGUGGCAAGUGUGGGAGGUUGCACGAUGGAGUGUGCAAGGCAGGGAGAUCUGGCUGCUACAAGUGUGGUCGGACUGGGCACAUGAGUAAGGAUUGUACCGCUACUACCACUACGAGUCCCACCUCAUCAUCUGAUCUGCUUUGCUUUUAGUGCAAUCAGAGGGGCCACAAGAGGUCUCAGUUUCCGAGCUUAGCAUCCGCAGGGAAGGUGGUGGCACCUGCCCACGUUACUCUGAGGAUUACAGACAGCCGUCUGGGUCGGCCUGAGGCGCUAGUGGCGAAGAGCAAAACCUUCCAGAUGACAGCAAAGGAGGCGCGAGCGACUCCUGAUGUGACGACGGGUAUGUAUUUUCCUCUUAUCCUUGUAUUUAGUAUUGAUUGUUUCUCAUGAUUAUGUGUUUGUGUAUAGGGUCGUUCUUAGUGAACGACAUUUCAGCUGCAAUAUUGUUUAAUUUGGGGGCUACCUGAUCAUUUGUCUCACUUGCACUUAGCAAGCGAUUUAGAAGAGUUCUAGGGGAGCUGGAUUUCCCACUUGAGGUUAAGAUAGCAGAUGAUAGGACCGUCAGGGUCGCAAGGGUAUAUAAGGGGUGUUCGUUGCGAUUAUUUGAUGAGCAGUUCUCAUUGGAUUUGGUUCUUAUUCCCCUGCGAGGGAAUACGGUUAUAGUAGGUGUGGAUUGGCUGAGCCCAAGUAGGGUAGUGAUCAAUUGUGAGCUGCAGUUAGUGAGGGUUCACACUCCUAGUGGGGGAGAGUUAGUGAUUCAGGGUGAGAUGCUACAACUCAGACUGAUUCUUUGCUCCGCAGCGAGAGUGAUGCGCUACUUUCAGCAGGGUUGCGUGGGGUACAUCGCCUAUGUUAUGGAUGCCCGAGAAAAGGGUAAGGCGACAGUUGACGAUGUACCGGUGGUACGAGAGUACCCAGAUGUAUUUCCAGAGGAUUUUAUCGGAAUACCUCCUGAGAGACAGGUUGAGUUCAGGAUUGACCUGGUUCCUGGUGCGGCUCUGAUAGCCAAGGCACCAUAUCGGUUGGCUCUUCUAGAGAUGCAUGAGUUGUCUACGCAGCUACAGGAGCUACUAGACAAGGGUGUUAUCAGGUCAAGCAGUUCAUCAUGGGGAGCCCCGAUCUUGUUUGUGAAGAAGAAGGAUGGGUCACGUCGCAAGUGUAUAGACUAUUAGGAGUUGAACAAGGUAAUGGUGAAGAACCAUUAACCACUUCCGAGGAUAGAUGAUAUGUUCGAUCAGCUUUAGGGAGCAUCUUGGUUUUCCAAGAUUGAUCUACGGUCCGGAUAUCACCAGAUGCGGGUCAGUGUUGAGCAUGUGCAGAAGACCGCUUUUAGUACCCACUAUGAUCAUUAUGAGUGUGUGGCAAUGCCAUUUGGGCUCACCAACGCUCCAGCCGCAUUCAUGGAUCUCAUGAACUGCGUGUGCAGGCCGAUGUUGGAGCGGUCUGUGCUAGUGUUCAUCGAUGACAUCUUGGUUUAUACCAGGACUUAGGAUCAUCACGAAGAGCACCUGAGAGUGGUGCUAGAGACACUAAGCAGGGAUAAACUUUUCGCGAAGUUCUCCAAGUGUAAGUUCUGGUUGCGCGAGCUGCAAUUCCUUGGACACCUCGUUAACCAGAAGGGUAUACUUGUAGAUCCGGACAAGAUAGAGGUUGUGAUGCAGCGGGAGGUCUCGAGGUCUCCAUCUGAGAUUCGGAGCUUCGUAGGUCUAGCAGGGUAUUACAUGAGAUUCAUUCAGGAUUUUUCCAAGAUAGCAGUACCGCUCACUUGACUAACUAAGAAGUCAGUGGCGUUUCGCUGGGGUCCUGAGCAGCAGUUAGCAUUUGAGACGCUCAGGCAGCGACUGUGCAAGGCACCGAUUCUUACCCUGCCAGAGGGAGUGGAUGACUUUGUAGUCUACUGUGACACUUCGAUCACAGGUAUGGGAGCAGUGUUGAUGCAGCAGGGGCAUGUCAUAGCUUAUGCCUCUAGACAGUUGAAGCCUCACGAGGCUAACUAUCGGAUGCAUGAUUUAGAGUUGGGGGCAGUGGUGUUCGCCCUCAAGAUUUGGCGACAUUACCUCUAUGGGGUCUGUUGUACCAUUUACAUAGAUCACAAGAGUCUGUGGUACCUUAUGGAUCAGUCGAAUAUGAAAAUGAGGCAGCGUCGAUGGUUGGAUAUGGUAAAGGGUUACAAGUGUAAGAUCCUUUACCAUCCGGGGAAGGGCAAUGUUGUGGCCGAUGCUCUGAGCCACAAGUUGGUGGUGGCCCCGAUCAGAGAUAUAUGUCUAAGGAUGAUAGUGAUUACUCCAUUGCUGGAGCAGAUAAAAAAGGCAUGGGUUUAGGGCCUGAAGGAGGAGAUGCAGAAGUUUGAGAGGAUCGUGGGCCGAGUAGCUUCCUUCGAUUAUGACAGUCGAGGAUUAUUGACCCUGCAUGGGAGGCUCUGGGUACCGUACUGAGCCGGGGUAUGGCAGGUGUUGAUGGACGAGGCCCACAAGUCUCGGUUCUCCAUCCAUCUGGGGGCGAUAAAGAUGUAUAGAGAUCUUCGACCCGAUUAUUGGUGGCCCUGCAUGAAGCGGGAUGUAGCGUGGUAUGUAGAGAGAUGCCUGACCUGCAGGAAGGUCAAGGCAGAGCACCAGAGACCCCACAGCAAGAUGCAACCAUUGGAUUUUCCCAUGUGGAAAUGGGAGCAUAUCACCAUGAAUUUCAUUACUAAUCUUCCCAUGACCGCACGUGGAGUUGAUUCGAUUUAGGUCAUCGUGGAUCGGUUGACCAAGAGUUUGCAUUUUAUACCGAUCCAGGAGAGCAUCUCAGCUGAGAAGUUAGCCGAUAAUUAUGUGGGAGAGGUAGUGGCACAUCAUGGAGUGCCAGUUUCAGUGGUGUCAGACCGAGACGUCCGGUUCACUUCCAGGUUUUGGAAGCGGUUUCAUGACGAGAUGGGUACUUGUCUUAAUUUCAGCACCACUUUCCACCCUCAGAUGGACGAGCAGAGAGAGGACGAUUCAGACUCUCGAAGACAUGCUUUGGGCAUGUGUCCUAGAUUUUGGUGGUAGUUGGGAUACGUAUCUUCCAUUAGCGGAAUUUUCGUAUAACAACAGUUACCACACCAGUAUUGACCGUCCUCCUUUCGAGAUGCUUUAUGGGAGGAAGUGUAGGACCCCAGUCUGUUGGGGUGAGGUUGGUCAGAGAGUCAUGGGGAGUACGGAGGUAGUACUCAAGACCACAGAGUUGAUACAGCAGGUCUGUAGCAGGCUUCAGACUGUGCAGAGUCGGCAGAAGAGUUACGUCGAGAAGCGACGCUCAGACUUAGAGUUCCAGGUGCGCGAUAUGGUCCUCCUGAAGGUGUCACCCUGGAAGGGUAUCAUCCGAUUUCCGAAGCGGGGAAAGCUGGGCCCCAGAUUUAUUGGUCCCAUUAGGGUUUUGGCCCGAGUGGGUCGGGUUGCAUAUCGCUUAGAUCUUCCAGUAGAGAUCAACCAGAUCCACAGCACUUUCCAUGUUUCUCAGCUGCGGAAGUGCUUAGUGGAUGAGUCAGCAGGUGUACCAUUGGAGGAUAUUCAGGUUGAUUGCAGCCUGAAUUACAUCGAGAAACCUGUUGCGAUCAUGGAUCGGAAGACAAAGACCUUGAGGAACAAGGUGGUUCAGCUAAUAAAGGUGCAGUGGCAACACCGCAAGGGCUCGGAGUGGACGUGGGAGCCCGAGGAGGAGAUAAGGGAACACUACCUAGAGUUGUUUGUAGAGACAGCAGACUUCGAGGACGAAGUCUAAGAUAAGUGGGGGAGAAUUGUAACGCCCAGUUUCUGGUACGUAUUUGAUCUACUUUUAUAUCAUUUGUAUUAAGUGACUCGAUGAGUGGCAGCCCUAACUCGUUAAGUAGAUGCGAGGUUGGGAUGCGGGUUUAAGUAAUCUACUCGACGAGUAGGCCAGUCUAGAUGAAACCCUAAUUAAAGGGUUUGUACCCUAUUUAAACAACAUUAUGAACUUCAAGCCCAGGCUCCAUCACCUCCAGAGCAUUUCUUUAGAAACCCUAAUUUCCUUUUGGCAAGCUUGAGCUUUCUUAGUGACUUGGAGGGUUUUUGGUGCAUUGUGUAUCUAGUGGAAGAUUUGGAAGGAAGAAGGAUCAAGGGAGAAGGGCUAGAUCCAGGAGCAACAUCAGUUUAUUUUCACCUUCAGGUAAUCAAGCUCAAAACUUGACUUGUGGUUUUAUAGAUUUUCUCCUUUGCCCUUUUAUGGAGUUUUGGGGUCAAUAAACUUGAUCCUUAAGACUUGGACGUCCCAAGUCGAUUCACCUUCAGAUUUAGACUCUAGAACCAAGUUCUUGGCAUACAGAUGCAUGCUUUAUGGCCAUAAUAGCCCAUGCACCCCUUUAGACCUCAUUUUGGCUCCUUAAAGCUUACACUUCCAUGCAUGCACGUCAAGUUCAUAACUUUACAUGCUAGAUCGAUCUUAGAAAGCCUAGAUCUACCUUUUGGAUAAGAGUUGUACACCAGAAAUUGAGAUUAUAGCCUUGGACAAUAGGCGACUCGACGAGUUGUUCUUGGAACUCGGUGAGUCCGACGCUUCAGUCCCCAAUUUGUUGUGGUUCAAAGGGACCCAGCUGAGUGAUAGCAAGCAUUUAGAUGAGUACAGAGGAGUGAUAUGACAUAUUAAGAUAUAGCCUCGAUCUAGAAAUCAUUGGACUCGACGAGUGUUAGAACACACUCAGUGAGUCCAAGGCAAUCUCCUUACCUACAAGAACAGAAUUGACGAGUUGUUCAUACAACUCGACGAGUCAUAGUCUAGACGUGUUCAUAUGAAAAAGAUGAACUCGAUGAGUUGUGCAUACAACUCGGCGAGUCGGAUGAAGAUUGACUCAAGGAAUUAUAGAAGGAGAACUCGUCGGGUCUUUGCUAAGCUCGACGAGUAGAACCGGGUAAGGGGCAGAAGAAAGGAUAUGGACUCGGCGAGUUGGCGACCCAACUCGGCGAGUCGGGAUAGGUGGAAGUUGACUUUGACCAUGGGUAAAAUAGUCACUUUAUCCUAGGAUUGGUUAUCAGUGUUUGAUUAAGUUUCUUUGUGGUAAUUGCAGCCGAGGAGUUACCAGAGCAGCAGACAGACAGUUCCCGAUCAGCAUUUCCGCAGUUAGCCUUACGAGGUGAAUUUCCUUCCAGUAGGAAUGGGUCUACAACCAUAAUGUUGGCCCGUUUAGAUAGCAGUAGUUCAGUAUGCUUGAUGUCUUUGUGAUUCAGGCAUGUUUAUGUGUUAUGUGUUCCAGACUGCAGUCUGAUGCAAUAUGCAGUACAUGUGUUAUUUUUAUAUGCUAUGAUUGUGUUAUGCUAUGUUCGGUUAGUUCCGGACUCCGGUCCGAUGCAGUGGGCAAGGCCCUAGUUAGUUCCGGACUUCGGUCCGAUGCAGUGGGCAAGGCGCUAGUUAGUUCCAGACUUCGGUCCGAUGCAGUGGGCAAGGCCUUAGUUAGUUCCGUACUUUGGUCCGAUGCAGUGGGCAAGGCUCAAGUCAAUUCCAAACUUCGGUCCGAUGCAGAGGGCGAGGCCCUAAUCAGUUCCGGACUUCGGUAUGAUGCAGUGGGCAAGGCCCAAUAUGUGCUUUAUUUGUUAUUGCAUGGUAUGUGGUAGUUUGGGGGAGCUCACUAAGCUUCGUGCUUACAGUUUUCGUUUUUUGUUUCAGGUACUUCAGCUAGCAUGGGGAAGGGCUCAGGUUGAUGGCAUGGCACACACCAUAGUUUUGCCUGGGAGUUAGACUCUAAUAUUUUGACACGAUCAUGACAUCAGAUUUGAUUUGAUACAUUUAUUAUGACAUUUUGAGAUACACGACUUACGGUUUUGUUAUAUGACAUUUGGAUAUUAUGGUUUUAGUAAUGUUUUCAAAUAAUUUUUUUGGCUUGUAUUUUUGGGUUGUUACACUAAGUAUAACCCAUUACUAAGCAAUAAAGAAUAAACUCCAAUAUUGGUAACAGGCGACACUUUCCUAUUCCCCAUGAUCAAGUUCAUCUUCCCAUGCUCCACAACCAUACUUCUUUUUAAACCAUGCAAAUCAAAACAAAUGUGAAAACCACAUCUUGUAUCAAGGAACCAAAAAUUAGAAUGUGAUGAGUUAUUAGACAAAAUUGUAUAAAUACCUGGGAAGGUGAGAUUUAUCUUCCCAUCCUUGAUGUCCUACAAGUAUUUAGGGCAGCUUCGUUUCCAAUGCCUUUUUCAUGACAAUGGAAGCACUCUGCUUCCUUUGGAUUUAAUGACGGAUCAAUAGAACCACCUUUGGACUCACUAGAAGAGGAUCUAUCACGAGACUUUCCUUUGUGAUUCUUUGAAAGAGCUUUCCUUUUCUUCUCUUUACCAUGUCCAAUUGCCAGGGCUGGGGCAGCAGCAGCAGGAAUAGGUACAACAUAUUUUCCUUUCAAACUACUUUCAGCAGUUCCGAUAAGGCCUUGAAGCUUGCUUAAAGUGACUUCCUCCUUAUUCAUAUGAUAAGUCAUUCGGAACUGAUCAUAACAAGAAAGUAAAGAGUGUAGGAUAAUGUUGAUAGUCAACUCUUCAUCGAAUUUGACAUUCAACUUCAGCAAGCAGUCCACAAACCUUUGCAUCUUUUGUAAGUGGGCCAUGAUGGACUCUCCAUCCCUCAUUUUGGUUGUUAUCAUGGAGGAAAUGAAUUCAUACCUUUCCUGUCGAGCACUUUGAUGGUACCUUUCCAUCAUGUCUUGGUGCAACUCAAAAGGAUAGUAGUCCUCAUAGGACUUUUGGAGUUCAUCUGUCAUAGUGUCAAGCAUGAUGCACGACACCUUUGUCGCGUCCUUCUCAUGAGCCCUAUAUUCAACAAUUUCUUCAGGAGUAGCAGCCGCUUCAUCAACCUACUUUAGCUCUUUAUCAAGGACAUAUUCCUUAUCCUCGUAAUGAGUGACCAUACGAAUGUUUCGAAUCCAGUCAAUGAAAUUCGACCCAUCGAAAAUCACCCUCCCACAUAAGUUCAUGAGGGAGAAAGAGCCGGAAGGGUUGGAGCCUACAACGUUUGGGGUAGACAUCUGAAAAGAAAGAUAAAGUUUAGAUUAGAUAAGAAUCUUUAAUAUAACAUUCAAAUGAAAUAUUAAAACUAGGAACCAACACAAUAUUUCACAAUUCGAAAGAGGGAUGCCGUAAUCUAAUUGCAAAAUAUUUGAAGGUAAGUAAAUGAAGAUUUACCAAUUUCCACCAUGAAAAACGAAAUUGAGGAUUAAGUUUUAAAUGAAUUGAAAUUCCAACAUUCUUUUGAGAUUCAUUAAACUUUUCAAUGGCAUGUUUAAAUCUCGAUUAUGUCAUUCAAAUUUGUGACUGGGAUACCGAGGAUCACAAAUAAGGUGUGAAUAACCAUGCAAUUGUGCUUGGUACUCUUGAUGUCAUUUAUCACCUAAUCAAUGUGUCGGUUAACCACACAUGCUCCAUUGAUCUAUGACAAACAUCAAGCUACCCUUUGCCAACCUUGCUAGUCCAAGUUAGUGUGUCGGUUAACCACACACGCUCCACUAACGACUUGGCAAGGUGCAAAGUGCACUUUUAUGGAAUAACACAAAUUUCACAUUUUUCCUAAAGUAACUAAGAUUGAGAAUUUAUAAAAACAUUUAGUUACAUUUAAAAUUAUCAUUAUACUUUUUAACGAGUAUUAAUGUCCUAUCCUACCCGCUCGGCUAACAACCCCCCACCAGUCAAGGAAGCAGUGGGUGAGAGUGGACACCCAUUCAAUUGCUAGUUUAUAGGCAAUUUCCUUAUAUCCCCCUUAUAGACCAACUUCAUGAAUGAGGCCUACUAACAGUAAGACNGUAAGACUGACUCGUCUUAUAUAUAUAUAUAUAUAUAUAUAUAUAUAUAUAUUAAUCUUUUAAUAUUAUAAUAGUAUAAGGGUUGAAUUUUAAACUUUUAAAAUUCUAGAGUUUAUAAUUUAAUGUUCCAUAAAUGAAACAUUUCAAAUUCCAAAACUUGAGGGCAAGUUUUAAAACUCUUUAAAACCUUUUGAAUUCUAUAACUUAGAAUUUAAAGUUCCAUAAAUGAGACUUUUCAAAUUCCAAAACUUGAGGGCAAGUUUUGAAACCAUUUAAAACUCUCUUGGAUCAGUUUGAUAACAAUUAAAUUAAUCAUAUAAUUAACUAUAUCACAAAAUUGACCUAAUCUAAUUUCAUAUAGCAAGAUUAUUCAAAUCAAAUUCUACAAAUAAUUAACAUUUCACAAAAUCAAAUAAUUAUCUUAAAAUUUGCCAAUCAUCAUUCAAUUUGGAUGAGAAUAAUCAUUACCAUAUCAGAAAAAGAAAAUUUUAUCAUGCAAAACAGUUUGUGGUAAUGAUCUUAAUCCAAAUUUGACCAAAAAACUCAAAAAUCUGCAAUCAAGAGAUCCUACUCAUCGAGUUCAUGGCAUGGACUCGACGAGUUCAUCACAUAUGAUCCAACUCGUCGAGUUCCCAUAUCGGACUCGGCGAGUCCAAUAGCCAGUGGCCAAAAAUCACAUUUUUUCAUCUUUGAAAAUCAAACAAUUGGAGAAUAUUAAAGAGAGACGGGAAAGGCUAUUUUCGGCUCUAGGAAUCCUUCUAGUGUUGUGGUAGCCAAAAAUGUGAAGUCAAGGGGGUCUUUAUAUAGGUGAGUAAUUAGGGUUUCAGUCAAAGACUUAAUCCGGUUGCUUAGGCUCUAAGCAACCCAUAGGAAUCUUCUAGAACCCUAGCCUUGGACUAAUUCUUAUGGGUUAUCCAUAAGAUUUUGUCCUCCCCUAUCUUUAGGGAUCCUCAGCCCAUUUUGCAAUUAUUUGAUAAUUACAAUAUCAGUCCCCUUAAUUCAGUUAACCUCUUUUGACCACAAAAUUAAUUCUAAAUUAAUUUCUUGACCAAUGUUAAUUAAAUAAUAUGAUUUCUCUUUUAAUAUAUUAUUCAUAUAAUAUAUUAAUAAAUCACUUUUAUCCUCUUUCUCCAUUAUUCUUCCAGUCAAGUUGUUUUGAUGAAGGCAACCCAAAAGGACCAUGCUACAAUCGGGUCAAGUACAUACCAUAUAUAGUUAUGGGCUUAGACACCUAUUCCAACAGAACGAACUAUAUAAACAUAUAGAAGUAGAUUGUCAUUUUGUGCGUGAUGCUAUUGUUGAAGGUCUAGUUGCUCCAUCAUAUGUUCACACAUCCGAGCACCUAUCAGAUAUUCUAACUAAGGCACUUGUCAAAACUCAGUUUGACAAAUUGGUGGACAAGUUUGGCAUUUUCGAUCCCCAUGCUCCAACUUGAGGGGGGAUGUUGAAGUAUAUUAAUGUUAUCUUCUUAUCUAGCUAUUAUGUAUUUGAAUGUAAUUCUUAUCUAUUAGUUUGUUUUGUAUUCUGAUAGGAUUAUUUGUAAUCCGAUCCAAACGGAUCUUUGAUGUAUAAGUACCAACAUUAUGAUUAAUGAGAUACACACAUUAAAAUCACACACACACUUUUAUUGAUUAUUUUAGAAGAAAACAUAUAGAUUUAUCAUUCCAUUUCGUCUGGGGAAAAGUAAAGAAUGGGAAAUUACAAUUAAAUCAUGUGGCGAUUUGAGAUCAAGUGCUAAGCAUCUUUACAAUGGUACUCCCAACCGAGUUACCUAAAAACUUGCAAAACAAAGAUAUGAAUAAAGGAUGGACCUUUUUACCCAGCCUGUGAGUUAUUACUGGCCCCUCUCUGUCUCUCCCCUGCGUUGUGAAUGAAGUGAUCUUGAAAACAGAAAAGAACGUAGCAUCCCGCUCAAUGCAAGUAGGGAGAACCCGUUCUCUAUCUUGUUUCAUCAGCAAAUGUGGCAAACGGUGGUCUUAUUCUCUUUUACUUAUACAUUAUCCAAACUCAAAUAAAAGUCAAAAUAACGAUAGGAGUUGAAGUUAUAAAUAAAAGUAUUCUAGGAUAUUUUAAAGAAAAGAUUAAUCUUAUCCGUAAGAGUUUUCUUUCGGCGGUUUCUUGACAUAUGUGCGGUACGAGCAUAAUUGUAUUAUUAGGAAUUAUGAUUCCCUUUUUCAUUUGCUUUAUUUAUGUUGCUAUAAGUUUGAAAACCAUUUUCUAUAAAGAAAUCUCUUUCCUCAAGUGUUUCAAUAAAAGUAAUUCACACUCUCAUUCCCAUUUUGAAAAAGAGCAUCAUCUUGACCAAGUUCGAGGGUCUAGAUGGAUUCAAGUGUCUCAACCACUUGAGUCAUAAUCGGCCUAUCUUUAGGGUUUUUACUUACACAUUGGUAAGCUAAAUUGGCAACUUUAAUGACAGUUUUUGAGGAAUAUUGACCUUUCAUUCUUGGGUCAAGUAUUCUCACAAGUUUUCGGUUGUGGACUAGAUGUGGUCGAGCCCAAUCAAUCAAGUUAUGCUCACAGCUAGGUCGACUUGCAUCUAUGGCUCUUCGACCAAUCAACAUUUCAAGAAGCACCACCCCAAAACCGUAUAUAUCACUUCUUACUGACAAGUGUCCUGUCAAUGCCAUAAAAAAUUCAUACAAGAAAUAGAAUGAUAUAAGUUGGAUGUACUUUUAAAGUCCAAUGUUUCAAUAAGAAAAAAAAAAUUGAAGGUAUAAGGCAAUAAUAUAAAAAAAAGAAAAUAGGAUGUUAUAAUACACAUAUACAUAAAAAUGUGCUUUUUUUUUUUUUUUUUUUUUGUAUUUAGCCCUAAAACAUAUUAGGUUAAAUGCAAGAAAUGAUACCAUUUUAUUAAUUUGUUUAUUAAAAUGCAAUAAUACACAAAUAAACAAAAGUAUGUUGUUAUUUCUUGGAACCUAAAAGAAAGAGUUAACUACAAGAAGUAGUAGCAUACUUUCAUCAAUCUAUUUAUUACGGAAUGUUAAAUUCAUUUCUUAUUACUACAUUGUAUGUUGAAAACUCUAAAACUCUAUCUGAUUAUAUAAAUGUCCUCUAAAUAAAAAAAAGAUAUUUUCACUAUGAUAACUGAACACGAUUUUUGAAGUUUACAAACCUAAUAAGAAAAAAAAAAUAUCGAAAUUACAAUGCUAUAGCAAAUGUAUUUUUCAAGGUUCAACGUCUAAUUCAAAAAAUAUGAAGUGCAAUGCUAUAACCAAAAUAAAUAAAAGCAACAUGCUAUGAUAUACAAAUAAAUGAGAAUACACAUGUAGCCUUGAAAGGAAGGGUUAACUAAAACAAAUAGCAAACACAUUUUUAUUUAUUUGUUUAUUAUAACAUUUUAAUUUUAUUUUUUCUAUUACCACAUUGUACUUUAAAAAUCUACCUAAUUAUAACAAUGUCAUCCAAAUACAAAACAAAUUUCAUUGUUAUAAUUUGGUAAAAUUUUCAAAUUAACAAUAUACCAAAAAAUGAGCACACUUUUAUAGUUAAGCACUUUUUCAAUGUACUAACCAAAAUUUUGUAAAAUAUAAUGCUAUAUUAGAAAAAAAUGAAAAUAUAUAUAUNNNNNNNNNNNNNNNNNNNNNNNNNNNNNNNNNNNNNNNNNNNNNNNNNNNNNNNNNNNNNNNNNNNNNNNUAUAUAUAUAUAUUGUAUGUCUACUUUAAAAUUGGCCUCACCGGUCGCGAUGUAUUCAGGAGCUGCAUAUCCAUAUGUACCUAUAACUCCAGUCGAUACAUGUGUUUGAUCCCCCAUUGGUCCAUCUUUUGCAAGUCCAAAAUCAGACAAUUUUGCAUUGAAUUCCUGCAAAUUUAUUCACAUUAAGGUAUUGUUUUUUUUUUUAAUUGAUUUGAUUCGGACAAGACUUUGGUAAACGAUAUAAUGCUGUUUUCUUUACUUAAUACACAACAAGAAAGCCUUAACAAAGAAAACCAAAAAUGUUGUCCGAUUUAUUUUUUCCUUCAAUCUUUGUACUGCAUUUUCUCAAGUUUUUAAAAAAUAUCAUUUGUCCAUACUAACCGCAUCCAGCAAGAUAUUUGAUGUCUUGAAAUCCCGAUAGAUGAUUGGUCUUUCAGAAUCAUGGAGAAAAGCAAGCGCUAUUGCCGUAUCCAAUGCAAUCUUUAUUCUCCGUGACCAUGUCAAUGUAGUACAUACUCCUUUAACAUAAAUGGAAGUGCAACAAAAUUCAAUAAAAAAGAAAAAGCUAGUUUCCUAAAAUUAUAUAUAUAUAUANNNNNNNNNNNNNNNNNNNNNNNNNNNNNNNNNNNNNNNNNNNNNNNNNNNNNNNNNNNNNNNNNNNNNNNNNNNNNNNNNNNNNNNNNNNNNNNNNNNNNNNNNNNNNNNNNNNNNNNNNNNNNNNNNNNNNNNNNNNNNNNNNNNNNNNNNNNNNNNNNNNNNNNNNNNNNNNNNNNNNNNNNNNNNNNNNNNNNNNNNNNNNNNNNNNNNNNNNNNNNNNNNNNNNNNNNNNNNNNNNNNNNNNNNNNNNNNNNNNNNNNNNNNNNNNNNNNNNNNNNNNNNNNNNNNNNNNNNNNNNNNNNNNNNNNNNNNNNNNNNNNNNNNNNNNNNNNNNNNNNNNNNNNNNNNNNNNNNNNNNNNNNNNNNNNNNNNNNNNNNNNNNNNNNNNNNNNNNNNNNNNNNNNNNNNNNNNNNNNNNNNNNNNNNNNNNNNNNNNNNNNNNNNNNNNNNNNNNNNNNNNNNNNNNNNNNNNNNNNNNNNNNNNNNNNNNNNNNNNNNNNNNNNNNNNNNNNNNNNNNNNNNNNNNNNNNNNNNNNNNNNNNNNNNNNNNNNNNNNNNNNNNNNNNNNNNNNNNNNNNNNNNNNNNNNNNNNNNNNNNNNNNNNNNNNNNNNNNNNNNNNNNNNNNNNNNNNNNNNNNNNNNNNNNNNNNNNNNNNNNNNNNNNNNNNNNNNNNNNNNNNNNNNNNNNNNNNNNNNNNNNNNNNNNNNNNNNNNNNNNNNNNNNNNNNNNNNNNNNNNNNNNNNNNNNNNNNNNNNNNNNNNNNNNNNNNNNNNNNNNNNNNNNNNNNNNNNNNNNNNNNNNNNNNNNNNNNNNNNNNNNNNNNNNNNNNNNNNNNNNNNNNNNNNNNNNNNNNNNNNNNNNNNNNNNNNNNNNNNNNNNNNNNNNNNNNNNNNNNNNNNNNNNNNNNNNNNNNNNNNNNNNNNNNNNNNNNNNNNNNNNNAGUUUACUUAGCUUUAAGAUCGAACUCAUGGGAUAAGAUACAACAUCAAUAUGUACAAUACACCAUUGUACAUAUUGAUGUUGUAUCUUAUCCCAUGAGUUCGAUCUUAAAGCUAAGUAAACUAAAAAAUCAUAGCACUUGUGAUUCCACUCGUUUGUAGACUUGUUUAGAAUCCAUGAUACGAUAAAUCAUUUGAUUGGAAAUGUAAAUGUAGUCAUGAAAUGCGCCUGCUUAGUCAAGAUUCCCCUAAUAAAUAUUCAAGUUCAUUACAAAGUUAUACAUGUAUGAAUAAUGUCCUUUCGUAGGUUAUGUUUUGAAGAGAAGCAAGAAUGAAUCUCAUAAAAGUCAUUAAUAUCAGUAGGAGAUGAUGUGAGAUUUGUUGUAAAUGAGUAAAGGGAAAAUGAAUCAGGAGGGUAACCAACUGUUGCGUUUGUUCUCAUUUGGUCCCUUUCCUUUUUUUUGUACUCAAUAUACCAUCGAACUUGUUUUCUGUGUUCACCAUAACCCUUUGACCGGCUAUCACAGGUCAAAAGCCGGUCAAAAGGGCUAUGGUAAACACCAACAACAAGUUCGAUGAUAUAUUGAAUACAAAAAAAAGAAAAGGGACCAAAUGAGUACAAACGCAAAAGUUAAUUACCCUCAAGAGUCAUUUUCCCCAAUAAAUUCAUAAGUAAAAAUACAAAAAAAAAAAGAAUUAAUCUACUCACUGUCAUAUAGGUGUUUCUCCAAGCUUCCGGAUGCCAUAUAUUCGUACACCAAAAGGCGAUGAUCUUCCUCGCAACAAUAUCCAAUAAGCUUCACAAUAUUUGGGUGUUGUAGUUGUCCUAAAUAAUUUACUUGAACCUGUAAAUUAUAUAAGAACAUGCAUACAUUAUAUAAAUACAUACAUAGUAACUUUACAUACAUACAUGAUACACACAUAAACACAAACACACGCUGAAUGUUGGAAGUUGAUUUGUCCACAAUAAUUUCUUUUUUGAUACACAACAAUUUAUGUUUCAAAAUGUUUUAUUAUAUAAAUCUAUAAAGCAUAAAUUAAAACAUUUGUUUUACAUGAAUCACUUCCCCUUCAAGGCUUCAAAUUAUUUCGACAUAUAUACAUGGAAGCAAAGGUAUCCACGCGAACACCCUCAAAGUUUUGUAAUGUAAAAAAAUGAAAGAAAAUUUUAAAGAUUUUUUUUGUGGAGGAUAGUAUCUAGCUUAGACUAGCUCACUUGGUAGAAAUUUUGUCUUUUAUAUUGGGAGUUCCGAGUUCUAAUUUUAGAUAUUGACGAAUUUAACUAAGUUAGUUAUAUUAACCACUAACCAACUGUUAAANNNNNNNNNNNNNNNNNNNNNNNNNNNNNNNNNNNNNNNNNNNNNNNNNNNNNNNNNNNNNNNNNNNNNNNNNNNNNNNNNNNNNNNNNNNNNNNNNNNNNNNNNNNNNNNNNNNNNNNNNNNNNNNNNNNNNNNNUAUAUAUAUAUAUAUAAAACCAUUCAAAAAUGCCAGUGUUAAAUUAAAAAAACACUAUUUUGAUUUUCUUUCUUUAACUACCGGUUUUCUUGAAAAUAAAUAAAUUAAUAAAUACAUAAAUAAAUAAAACUCCCUAAAAGUAGUCAUUUUGAGUGAUUAUAUCACCUCUCCUAUUCUAAUAAAAAAAAUUACAACCUCUACAAAAUAUUAUUUCACCUGAAAAUUAAAUUACCAACUUAUCUUACUUUUUCUUUGAAUUAUUUUGUUUUCCUUGAAAUUGGCUACUAAUCGAUAGAAGGAACUCCUCCACACUCCCAAAAUAGAAAUUUCAGUUUAAAAUUUCGUAAACCCUUGAUAUAAGGGUAAUCUAAAUCUUAAUUCGAUAUUUUUGGAAGUAUUUUCUUUCAAUUUUCUAUUUUUUUAACCGACGGACAUUAUAAAACUACCAUUCAAAAAAGGAGAGAGCUUAAAAUGGAAAGAGGCAAGGCAAAAAAACAAAAGAAACAUAUUACAAUAUUUUAAAGGGAGAACAACACCAAUCACCCCAAUUACAUUCCCCAAAAUUCUCUCUAUGCUUAAUCCAAUUGAAAACCAAAAGAUAAAUAUUAUCCGCCAAUCUACUAGGACUAGAAUGCAAUUUGUUAAACACUCGUUCAUUCCUUUCCUUCCACAAGCUCCAGGGGGAUCGCAUCAAAUAGAAAUGACAAUUUUGCUUUUCUUGGGAUAGUCCCCAAUUAGCCGCAAAAUUAAUGAUAUCAGCCAUCGUGUCAAAAACGUUGGAAAGGGAUAUCGCACCACUUGAGAAUCCAAGACCACACUCGCUAGCAAAACCACAAUUUAGAAGGAUGUGAUCUGAACCGCGUAACAUGUUAGCCUAUAUAUUAUUAGCCCACUUGUUUAUGAGUUUUUUAGUCUUUAGGCUAUUAGGAUUUUGUCUAGCUAGUAUUUAUAUCCACUUUAUUCUUUGUAGCUUUUAUGCAUUUUAUUGAGAACAUUGUAAUUUCUCUCUAUCAUAAUCAUAUGACAAUGUUAUCAUGUUAUCAGAGCGAAGGUUUGUUACGUUAGAAGACUUUGUAGCAGUCAUCAGUGGCGCGGAUUGAACAUUUCUAGAGUUACUGUUUAUUCAGUCUGGUGAUGUUUAUUCGUUAGUGAUAUUCGUUUUUUGGAUGGUAUUUGUUUGUUGUUGUCGUUUAUUCGUUGUCGCUGUUCGAUUUCUUGCUAUUCGAUUGAUUCCUUCUGCUGGUUUGUUACUCAUCUCAUUCUCAGAUUGCUAUACUAUUAUCAUGGGCAAAUCCAAUGUAGAGCCCGGGGUAGCCCGGGAUACCCCUCAAAAAAAUUUUGAUACUGUAAUUCUUUUUAACAAAAUUUCGUUUUAUAUAGUGUAUAUAUAUGUUUCCCUUCACUUGUAAACCCAAACAAACAUGUGGUCUGCUGGUAAGGCACUAGUAUAUUGAAGUAGAGGUCUAAGGAUCAAAUCUCCCUCCUUAGAUGUUCUUUGUUUACCUUAUAUUUUUAUUUUCCUAGCUAUUCUAUCCCACAUCGCCAAACACAUGUAAAUUUAGCCAAUUUCGUCUAUUAUAUUAACCUGUUAUCUUCAUGUUUCAUUCUUAUAUUUUUAUUUUCCCAGCUAUUCUAUCCCACAUCGCCAAACACAUGUAAAUUUAGCCAAUUUCGUCUAUUAUAUUAACCUGUUAUCUUCAUGUUUCAUUUGAUAUCUACUUUGAUUUCCACAUCUAUUCAAGUAUCAAAAGAUACUUCAACUUCAUGUUAAUAUAACAUGACUUUAGCUUAUUUAAGGAUGCAAUUAAGGUUUAGGUUUAAAACCAAAGUAGCCAAAAAAAAUUGGGCCAUCCGAAAUUUUUUGGGAUACCCCUUUACUUUGACCCUGGGUCCGCCACUGACUAUUAUUGUGGUUAUUUAUUCGUUGCCAAGAUGACUGGAAAGGAUGAUUCCCUUCAAUCAAUCAGUACUCAUCUAGAUGGAAAGCAUUAUACCUAUUGGAGUUACGUUAUGAAGAACUUCCUUCAUGGGAAGAAUAUGUGGGGCUAUAUCACUGGGACUAAAGUCAAACCCUCCGUGCCUCAAGCUGAGAAUUUCGAUUUAUGGUUGAUGCUUGGGAGACUGAUGACUCCAAGGUCAUUACUUGGAUUACUAAUUCUAUUACUCAGUCUAUCGAUAUGCAGUUGGCUAAAUAUGACACAAAAAAGGAAGUUUGGAAUCACUUGGGCAGACUGCAUACUCAAUCCAACUUUGCUAAAAAGUACCAGAUAGAAUAUGAUAUUCGUCCUCUUUAAAAAAUGACCAAAGCAUUCAAGAUUUCUAUGCUGCUAUGUCUGAUUUGUGGGAUCAAUUGGCUCUUACUGAAUCUAAAGAGUUCAAAGAUUUUGAGCCUUACAUUGCUAGGAGGGAAGAACAACGUUUGGUCCAAUUCUAGAUGGCCUUUCGUUCUGAUUUUGAAGGCCUACAUGGUACGAUUGUUCAUCACUCUCCCCUUCCCUCAGUGGAUUCUAUUGUUCAUGAGUUGAUUGCUGAAGAGACUUCUAUCAAGUCUCAUGCUGAUGAAGAGCUUAAAGCAACCUCCAUUCCUACUUCCACUCUUGAUGUGCUUGAUGUCUCCUCUAAUCAGUCUCUACAAACUUCAAAGGUUGCUUAUGAUGAGUGUGCAUUCUAGAAACAGAAAUAUCAUUGGAAAGCUCAGCGUCAUUGUUAGUCAACAAGGGUAAAUCUGGUUAGCCUCAGUUGGGACAACAAAAUAGGUCUGGUCAACAGAAGUUUCAACCACGUUCCUUUGGUACUCCUCCAUGGACUCCUCGUCCUCCAUAGUUUGUUGUUGCUACUACACCACCAGUUGACACAAAAUCUGUUGAAAACAUGUCACCAUCUGCAUUGGAUCCCAAGGUUUUUGAGAGUUUCAGACAAUAUUUGGCCUCUAAUCCCACUACCAUAUCUGCAUCUAUGUCUGAUUCUGGUCCUACUUCAUCUGGUACAUCAGGUAUUCCCUCAUCUUUGUGUAUUUUAGAUUCUGGUGCAACCCAUCACAUGACUCCUCAUUUGUCAUCAUUUACUUCUUUGUCACAUGUGUCAUGUCUACUAGUGAUGUAUCUAUGCUAGUUGAGGGUGUUGGUUUUGUCUCUAUUUCUCAUGUCACUCUCCCUAAUGUUUAAUACAUUCCCAAACUUACUUUGAAUCUUACCUCAGUCAGUCAGUUAUGUAAGUCUGGUAACUAGGUCUUCUUUUAUGAUUAUGUCUGUCUUAUACAUGAUCAACACACCCAGAAGGUAAUUAGGAUCGGCCGUAAGGUGAGGGAACUUUAUGUCUUGGAGGUUCUCAAAGUAUCUGUUGUUGCUGCCUCCAGCAUUGAUUUGUCUUCUUUUCGUUUGAGUCCUUUGUCGUUUGAGUUUUAUCUUUGGCAUUCUCAUUUGGGACAUGUGUCUGUAUCAUGUUUGAGUUUUCUAGCAUCUAUUGGUGUUUUGGGUCAUUUGAAGACUUAUGAUAUUUCUGAUUGUAUAUGCUUUACCUUUCAAUAAAAGUAUGUCUUGUUCUACUGCUCCUUUUGACAUUAUUCAUUCUAAUGUGUGGGGUCCUGCACCAGAAUCCACAAAUGGUGGGUCAACCUAUUAUGUAUCUUUUAUAGAUGAUUAUACUCGAUAUACAUGGGUUUAUCUUAUGAAACGCAAAUCUGAUUUCAUUGGUAUUUAUAGCAAUUUUAGAGAUCUUGUUAAAACUCAACAUUCGGUUGUGAUUAAGUGCUUAAGGUGUGACUUAGGGGGUGAAUAUACCUCUAAUGAUUUUACUAAGUUACUUGCUUCUAAUGAUACCAUACACCAAUCAUCGUGUGUUGACACUCCUCAGAUAAAUGGUGUGGCAGAACGAAAACACUGUCAUAUUAUUGAGACUGCCAACUCAUUGCUCAUGUCUGUGCAGGUCCUUAGUGUCUUUUGGGGAGAAGCAGUCCUAACUGCUUUUUAUGUGAUUAAUCGUAUCCCUAAUUCAUUGAAUUCAGGAAUGUCUCCUUUUGAGAAGUUAUAUGGUCACCUACCCGACUAUUCUUCCUUACGAGUUUUUGGAUAUACUUGUUUUGUUCGUUGUCCUCAUGUUGAGAGGAACAAGUUGGGGCUAAAAUUUGCUAUUUGUGUAUUUUUAGGGUACGGUGUUGGACAUAAAGGAUACCGUUGCUAUGAUCCUGUGAGUCAGAAGUUAUAUGUUUCCCGACAUGUCAUUUUUUCGAGCAUAUUCCUUUCUACUCGAUUCCUGCUACAGCUCACAAUGUAACGAAGUUAGAUCUUCUACAUAUUGAUCCUUUUGAUGAAGAUAUAAAGACUCGAGACCCAUCUAUGCCACCUGAUCAUUCAGCUCAUGACACACCCACCCCUUCAGAGAGUUCCUCGACUCCCCCUUUUCCUAAGUCUGCUCCUUCGAUUGUUGAAAUUGAAGAUCCACCUCCUCCACUACCCCUCAGGAGAUCUACCCGUCCUGUUAAGUUCACCAAGCUUCCAAAUUUUGCUUACUCUACAUAUUCAGGGCCAUUUGCUUCAUUUAUAGCGAACAUCCAUCAUCUGUCUAAACUUGAAUCAUAGAAGUUGUUUUAGAUCCUCUUUGGUAGAAUGCUAUGGCUGAGGAACUCACUGCUCUUCAUCAGACUCAUACAUGGGAUUUGGUUUCUCUUCCUCCUAGGAAACAUACGAUAGGUUGUCGUUGGGUGUACAAGAAAAAAAUAAAAGCUGAUGGGUCUGUUGAGUGAUACAAGGCCAGACUUAUAGCAAAAGCAUAUUCUUGAUAGUACGAUUUUGACUACGAUGAGACAUUUUCCCCAGUUGCAAAGAUGACGACAGUCUGUACUAUGAUUGUAGUUGCAUCCAUUCUACAGUGGAAGAUCUUUCAAAUGGAUGUCAAGAAUGCAUUUUUGAAUGGUGACCUCCAUGAAGAGAUUUAUAUGACUCCUCCACCAAGAAUUCAGCACCAUUCGGGUGAGGUUUGUCAGCUUCGCAAAGCUUUGUAUGGUCUCAAGCAAGCUCCUCAUGCUUGGUUUGAAAAAUUAACCAUAGUGAUUACCUCUAUUGGAUUUGUCUAAAGUAAUCAUGAUUCUGCUUUAUUUAUUAGAUGCUCGAGUGCAUGACGGAUUCUUUUGUCCUUAUAUGUGGAUGACAUGAUUAUUAUUGGUGAUGACCAUGGUGGUAUUGAGUCUUUGAAGCAUGAUCUAGCUCAUCGAUUUUCUAUGAAGGAUUUGGACUUGCAACGUUAUUUAUUGGGUAUUGAGGUGGCUCAGUCUAAGAAAGGUUAUCUUCUUUCUCAAACUAAAUAUAUAUAUCUGACUUGUUUACACGGGUUGGCCUCUUUGACAAUAGGACUGUUGAUACUCCCCUUGAAACCAAUGCACGAUACUCUCCUAUUGAUGGUGUUCCUUUGUCCGAUCCGAAUCUUUAUCGCAAUGUAGUGGGAAGUUUGGUUUAUCUCAUAAUUACUCGUCCAGAUAUUUCUCAUGCUGUUCAUGUUGUCAGUCGGUUUGUUACUGCCCCUACCUUUGUUCAUUGGGGAGCUGUACUCCGUAUUCUGAGAUAUCUUCAUGGCACUCGGUUUCAAACUCUCUUGUUUCCCCCCGACAUCUUCUCUUGAGUUACAUGCUUACAGUGAUGCUGAUUGGGAUGGCGAUCAUCAUGAUCGUAAAUCCACCACCGGAUUUUGCAUAUUUCUUGGAGAGUCUCUCAUUUCAUGGAAGAUCAAGAAACAAGACAUUGUCUCUAUAUCUUCCACGGAGGUUGAAUAUCGUGAUAUGGCUAUAAAUACAUGUGAGAUUAUCUGGUUACAGUGGACAUUUCCAGAUAUGGGAGUUCACAUUUCUUCAUCCACUCCCUUGUAUUGUGAUAACAAAAGUGCGAUACAAAUUGCGAAGAAUUCUGUUUUUCAUGAGCGGACGAAGCACAUUGAGAUUGAUUGUCAUUUUAGCCGUUAUCACCUACAGCUCGGGACCAUAUCACUUCCGUUUCUUUCAUCAACCUUCCAACUUGCGGGUAUUUUUACGAAGGCUCUAUCGGCUUCUCGAUUUCGGUUCUUGUGUGACAAACUCUCAAUGCUUAUUGUUGUGGCAUUGUGAGUUUGAGGGGGGAUGUUAGCCUAUAUAUUAUUAGCCCACUUGGUUAUAGGCUCUUUAGUCUUUAGCCCAUUAGAGUUUUGUCUAGCUAGUAUUUACAUCUACUUUAUUCUUUGUAGCCUUUAUGGUUUUUAUUGAGAACCUUGUAAUUUCUCUCUAUCAUAAUCAUAUGACAAUGUUAUCAUAAACCAGAUGUAAAAGUAACACAAGCCGUGGAACGAGAUGAGAUACCCGUAUGAGAAAGAGCCAUGCCAGUUGGAAUACGCUCCAUACAUGCUCUCCACACAAAACAAUUGCAUUUCAAAGGCACUGUAUGAAUCCAAAUGGUAGGAUUAUUAAUGGGGAUGUGACAUUUUUGUCAAUAAUCACCCUGAGAUCAUGAACAAAAAAACGUGCCAUUAAUUGAGAGCCGAAAAUUCCAUCAAUCGUCAUCCGACGACCAUAUAUGUUGAGCGAUCAACCCAUGAAGCCAAUCCAACUCCGGUAACUCAGAUUGUUUGUUGCGCUGCCGUUUCCAAGCCCACACCAAAUCUUUAGGAUCCACUCGCUCUGAAACAAAAUAACCUUUUCUUUUGUCUCAAAAAGACCGGGGCAUUUAGAAGCUAAAAAAUCACCGCUUAUCCACUUGUCUAGCAAAAACAGAGUUCCGGUCCCAUUUCCUAUACACAAUUUCAAUAUAUCAUCAAGAUUUACCCCCAUAUUUUUGCAAGUCAGGAAUAACCUUCAAGAUGUUACCCCAAAUACCAUGGAUCGAUUUUUUGGCCCAGUUCUUGACCGGCCUUUUGUGAGAAUUAUGAAUGCCACAUACCACUCUUCUCUAAAGGGCAUCUUUGUCAACCAUGAAAUGCCACAACCAUUUCACAAGCAAGGAAAUGUUAAGCGAGUAAAGAGAGCCAAUACCUAAACACCCUAAACAUUUCAGACCAAAAAUAACAUCCCAAGCAACCCAUUUUAUCUUCGUUUUCUUGUCGCUAUCUCCCCACAGGAAGUUUCUUCUGUUCUUUUCUUACCCGUCAAUCACCUACUAAGGAGCUUUAAAUAGCGAAAAAUAAUAUAUGGAAAGGCUUCUAAUUUUUUUGGCAGAAAUAGUCCUUAUACUUUAAUUUAUACAUAUUAGGCCCAAAAAAUAUUAAAUUUUGACUAUGCCCCCCCUGUUCACCAAGUUUAUAUAAGUUAUAUUUUUGGUCCCCCCAAAGGAAAGACUGAAGCUCCGCCAUUGCUACUAAGCACCGAUUUGACUAGCAUUUAAUGUAUUUCUAUUAAGGUUCACCAAAAAUGAUAUGCAUACAUUGUAAUUUUAAGGUCCUUUAUACUAAUUUAUAUUCUCUUUCAUGUAUUGGAUGUUGUGCAGGAAAGGUGUACUACUUGCAUGAUGCAAUGGGUCUUAACUUCAUAGGAUAAUCAAGGAUUUUAUGACAUAAGUUGGUGAUUUUCUAAAGGUUGGCUUCUUACCUUUAUUUUAUAUGCUUCACUGUUCAUUUUAUCUUCUACAUCGCUAUGACGCUAAUAAAUUUUUUGAGUGUUUGUUCUUCUUAUAAUUUUUUUGGCAUGCUUCACUAUGAGUUUCUGUGCUUCUUUCCAUCUGUUGACUUGUAAUCAUAUUUAGUGCUAAUUUUGCUUUUAACGCUUCUUUUUACUGGAUUUUUUUAUGUAAGGGCCUAUACACCUUUUGAGAUUAGUUCCAAAGAUCUAGGUUUGUCAUCUUGCGGAUGGUAGGUAAGAUCUUUUUAAUCUACUUUUUAUACAGUUAUAACGAUCUUGAUUUUCUUAUUCCAUGUUGCUAAAGAAGUAAAUUGCCUAUUUUAGGGAAAGUACAUUGCUAUUGCUUGCAAAAAGUUAAUGAAUUAUCUAAGUGAUGGGAUAAGUUUUUAUCUACUCUAUAAUCAAAUGAGUUUUUUUUUUUUUUUUUUAUAACAAUAUUUCAGUUUGUUACCCACUUUUUAUUGAGUUCUAAACAAAGUCCAGAACAAUAUUCAUAAGAAUAAGAGAAAUCUCCAGAAAAAGUCCUAAAAUUUUAGUCUAAUUUAUGAAAAAGUUUCGAAUUAAUUUUUGUUUACAGAAAAGCUACUGGCUAAAACUUUGAAAAAAAACUUUUUGGCCGGUUUCCUAGAUUUAGUCAGUAUUCUGUCCUUUUUUAUUAGUUUGCUCAAAAUAUUAUGACUUUUUUUGAAAAUUACAAUGGAAUUAAUGGAUAUUAUUAUUAACAAAUCAUUUAUAAACAUAAUUUUUUUUACUAUAAACAAAGAAAAUACAUUUGUUGCUAAUUUCUAGGAAUAGAAUAGUCGACUAUGUAUUUCUCUAUUGUUUGUUGACCACUUCAAAGUCGCUAUGUUCUUCCUAUGUAUCGUUGUGGGUAUCAUAGUGAGAAGUACUCUGUUAGGCGUGACCAUGCAAGAGUUGAUAAUAUUUAUUAAUACACAAUCAAUAAGUGUCUACUUGCUAUUAGGCAUGAUGUUAUAUAAUCACGUGUUAUUAGAAAAUAUUAUUACACGAACAUAUAGAUCUUUCAUUAUGUUCUUUUACCUAACUACACCUAACCUCCAAACAUUACUUGGUAACAACCAUAAAAUUACAUACAUUUAUCGAGAGUGAAAAGUAAACUUUGAAUGACAAUUUAAAUAGAUAAUAACCAUUCACUUGUUUCCAUAUAAAUUAUCAUUCACGAUUCACUUUUCACAUUUUACAGAUGCGUGUUAGCCGAUGGUUGUUAACAUGUAAUGUAUGAAUGUUGGUUUGUAGUUAGGUUAAACAACAUAAGAUGAACACCAACAUUAGAGGAAUGCUAACUAAGUUCAUCUCACCAUCAUACCCACAACAAUGCAUAAAAAGAACGUAGAGAGUUUGAGUGGUCAGGAAGCAAUAGUGUACUUAGACCACCAAUUUAUUCCUAGAAAUUAGCAACAAAUGUAUUUACUUUUUUUAUAAUAAAAAUAUUUUUUAUGUUUAUAAAUGAUUUGUUAAUAAUAAUAUCUACUGAUUUUAUGGUAAUUUUCAAAAAAGCCCUAAUAUUUUUGUUAUUAUGUAAUUUUUGAAAAGUCCCAAAAUUUUGAGCAAACUAACGAAAAAUGACAAGAUACCGGCAAAAUCUGCGAAAUCGGACGACCAGGGUUUUUUCGAAGUUUUAACCGGUAUUCUGUGAUUUUCUAUAAAUAAAAUUUUGUUUGGGACUUUUUUAUAAAUUGGACUAAAAUUGUUAGGACUUUUCUGUAGAUUUCCCUAAGAAUGACAAUGAAAUAUUGAGAAAUAUUUCCAAAAAGUAGCAAUAUAUGUUCAUGAUGAUCAAAACAACUUCCUGAUAAGACAUGUUACUAUGUUUUCUCAAUUACAUACAUUGUUAUAGAAAGAUCUAAAAUUAAGUUGUUCAAAUACAUGUAACUCAAACACAAUGUUGGCAGUUCUUGCAUUUAACCUUAUAUUUGAUUAUUUAGUUUGUGAUUUUUAGAUCUCUAUGGUUUUCAUUAUCCGAUUUAUGGUAUUUUUAUUACAGGUCUUGGAUUUCUAUAAGUGGCCACUGUUUGACAGCCCAAUUAAAGUUAUUACACUUGGGGAUAGCUCUUUUGUGUCUAGCUACCUACUUGCUAGGGCAUAUUAGAAAGUUGUUCAAAGUUCUUGUUAAAACUAUAGCUUUUGAAAGUUCACUAAUCGAAGGAAGUUCUAAAAUUCAAAAUGGAGGCAAUGGAAACUGUUACUCUUUAUGUUUAGUGAUCUAUUAAAAUUUUCAUGUGUUUGAUGGCUUUGCAAAUUUUCAAUUAAAUUUUAUUACAUCAAAAAGCUUUAGGCGUUUGCUAUGAGGAUAGUGGAAAAAGUAGUAUAGCUCAUGAAUAAUUUAUUCAACAUCGUUAAUUAUGGUUGGCAUGCAGUUUGUGUAUGUUUAAUUUAUUAUAACAAGAUUUUAGUAUUUUAAGAUUUUUGCAUCAAUGUGCCUAAAAGAGAUCUUAUUGAGCUUUUUUGUUCUUUUUAUUGUAAAAUCCUCUUGAGUCAUAAUAUCAAAUACACUUUUAUAGUUUGUAUUUAAAAAAACUAAAAAAACUUUUGUUUUUAUCAAUUCAUAAUUUUUUUGAAAGUAUUUGAUUAGUCAUUACGAAUUUGAUUUUUUUUAACAACAAAUCUAACAUACUUUUACAUUACUCCAAAUUUCACAUAUAUGUAAAAACCAGACUUAAACUUUCGACUUCAAGAAGUAAUGACAAUACUUGUACUGUUGGGCUAAAAACCCUUUGGUAUUAUGAUUUCAAAUUAUAAAUAAUGUUUUUUUCCCCAAUUGUGAUUAGUCGUUAGUGGUUGUAUGAAUUUUUUUUUAUUGCUUACCAACCCCUUUUAUACGUGGAUUUUGCUUUCGUUGAGAAAUCACUAAUUUUUCUAUUUUGUAAAUUAUUAUUUUUAUAAAUACUUGAUUAGUAUUUUGGAUUUCUAAUUAUAAAUAAUGUUUUUAUUUUGCGACUAUGGUUUUCCACGAGUUUAAACCUAGUAGUUCUUAUAAAACUACCUCUUCCCACUAAAUGAAGUCAACGUAUUUUUUAAAAUUACUUGGUUUUGAAUGGUCCUAGAGUUAACCUUGAAUCCAUCACAACUAUGACAUACAUAUUCAUUUUUUCCACACACAUUAUGACAUACACUCCAAGUUAUUGUUGGUAUGUAUUAUGCACACACUCACACCUAUAUACACACAUAAUUCAAGAACAAUCACAUUCAUAAGAUGUAAGGAUAAUCUAUUAUAAUAAAUGAAGGUUUUUUUUGUCACAUGUCCUCUUCUCAUUCAUUUGGACACAUGACAUUUUCUAGAAUUUGUAAAUAUUGUAUUUUCCACUUGUCAUUUUAUUGUAUUUUUCAUUUUAUUAAAUUAAAAUUUCACAUUUAAUAUGUAAGGUAAUAUAUAUGUAAAGUAUUUAUUAGAAAUUGUUUAUAUAUGUAAUGUAUUCAAUACAUUAAAGUCUCAUUAAUUUUAAUAAUUCAAAAAAAAUUUAUUUUUCUUAUAAAUUCAAACUAUUCAAAUUAUUAAAAUUUCAUAUUUAUUUUUUUUAAUUAAACCCAUGUAAUACACGGGUCUCACACCUAGUAAAUAAUGAAACACAGGUAGAAUUACAUACCAGCCAUUCUGUAUCACAUUGAACUCCUUGACGGUUAAAUUCUUUAACUGCAACUUGAGUUUUACCAUAACCAUAUCUCACAUUCUCAUAUAUAAAUCCUUUAUAAACACCUCCAAAUCCACCCACACCUAGAACUUGAUCCGACAUAAAUUGUUUGGUAGCCAUUCGCAUCUCAUCAUAUGUAAAAAUAUCGAGAUUGCUAUAUACAGGAUUUUGUCUAAGAUCAUUAAGAUCUCUGGUGAUCACCACCACACUUCUAGAACUUUUUAUAUUAGGCGAUUCAAAAAUACUUUGUUUUGGUGGAAUCUUCACAGGUUCUUUAGAAGGAAACUGUUGGUUUUUACCUGAAAUUUUCAAUUUCAACUUUCAAUAAGUAACCAUAGUUUGUUUCGCAAAAUGGCCAUUCUCUCGCAACCCUAUAAGCAAGCCAACACUAUGUUAAACAUGCAUUGAGACUUAUAUCAACCACGCAAAAAAUGUAAAUUUUUUAGCUUGCCUAAAGAGGUGAGACACAGACUUUCCAAUGACAUUUUCAAAGAGGUUUUUUUCAUGAUGAAACAUAUAUAUAUAUAUAUAUAUAUAUAUAUAUAUAUCUUGAAUGGAAGGAAAUGAAUCUAAAUAGUCACAUUUAAAGCAGGUUGGUUAUCAAAGUUUAGAUUAAAGAUAAAUAUCAAGCUCUUAUUUUUAUGUUCGCUAUCAAAUUUAUAUGAGAAUUUCAUUGAUAGUAUACAAUUGGUAGAACAAUGAUUAUUGUUAACGGCGUGAAGGAAUAUUUGCUGUCAAAAAAACUAAAACGAAGGGAUUACUAUGGGCAAAGAAGGGUCUAACUAGAUUCGUUAGGUAGGGGCACAACAACAAAGAGAUUGUGAAAUAGGACAAAGUCACGCUCCAAAUCCAAAGCUUCAACUAAAGUUAAAUGUUAUCAUUACAAAGGAUGAGACACUUUAUAAUAGAUUUUCACAAAGAAAGAAGGGAAAUUAAAACAGAAUCAAUAAAUAGUAGUAGUAUUGUUGUUGUUCAUAUAUGAGAGUUCCUGAUGGAAGGGACAAAGGUGAAGUUUUGACUUUUAGAACAACCAUUUAUGUAGAUACUUGGAUCUUGGACAUUGGUGCAUCUCACCAUAUGACAUACCCAUGUGACUUUUUUGAUUCCUUUAAAGAACGAAAUGGCAUGGUAAAGUUGGGUGAUGAAUGGAUGUGUUGUAUCAAGGGCAGUGACACGAGGAACAUUGAGUAUGUAAAGGUAUUCAAAUUACUUUAUUACUCUCAUAAUAAUGAAGGGAAACUGCAACAUCAUAUCUAGUUUUUAGAUGGCAGAUUAGUGAGAGAAACGGGGGUUAUAUCCUAAUCUUUUUGAGCAACAUGAUGAUAAAACAAAGUUAUGGCAUCAUCAAUUAGGGCAUAUGAGUAAGAAGGGUGUGUGUAUAUUGAAUAAAUAGGGCUCCUUGGAUGGAGAUGUAACUGGAAAAAUGAAAUUCUAUGAAGAUUGUGUCAAAUGAAAGUAACGCAUGGUGAAGCUAAGUUAUAUUCAACAUACAAACAAGUAAAUUCUUGAAUAUGUUCACUAAGAUUUAUAGGGUCCCUCUCCAGUGAAAUCACAUGGUAGAUGCUUGUACUUUGUAAGUUUAAUUUAUGAGUGCUCAAGAAAACUGUGGUUGUACUUUCUAAAAACAAAAGAUGAAGUCUUUGAACAGUUCAAGGAGUGGAAGAUUGUCGUUGAAAAACAGAUAGAUAAACAAGUCAAGACACUUAGAGCUGAUACUGUGUUAGAUUUUCCCAAUAAUUCAUUUAAUGACUUGUAUAAAAUAGGAAGGUAUGGUGAGGCACUACAUUAUUGGAAACACACCACAAGAAAAUGGAGUUGAUAGAACUGAUGAACCAAACAUUGAUGCAAUCAGCAAGAUGUAUAUGUUUAUUUGCUAAUAUAUAUAAAGCAAUUACAAAUAGAAGAAAUUAGUACGUCUUGUUAUCUGUUGAAUAGAUCUCCAUCAAUCUGCAAUUGAAUUAAAGAUUCCUCAAGAGUUACGAUCCAUUGAACCCUCUAGUUGUUCUAUUUUAUUUAUAUUUGGUUCUCCUACUUAUGCUCAUGUUAAUGAUGGUAAUUGAAGUUGAGGGAUAUGAAGUGUAUAUUUAUUGUAUAUACAACUAGAGUGAAAGGUUAUUGAUUAUGGUGUACAGAAGAAGGAAACACUCUAGAAAGGAAUCAAAUAGCAUGAGGUUUUCUCACCUGUCAUGAAACAUAAUACAAUUCUGGUUAUAUUAUCCAUGAUGAAUGCACUUAAUCCAGAACUUAAGAAACUUGAUGUCAAAACUACAUUUCUUCAUGGUGAUCUAGCAUAAAAGAACUAUAUAUCCCAGCCAUAAGGUUUCCUUGACUCCAGAAAGAUCAUGUAUAUUUGUUAAAUAAAGCUAUAUAUGGUUGAAAGCAGGGUACAAAAUAGUGAUACAAGAAGUUUGAUUCGUUUAUGGUUUCCUAAGGCUAUGUUAGAAACCAGUUUGUCAAUUGUGUCUACUCAAAGCAACUAUCUGAUCGUUCCUAUAUGUAUUUGAUGUUAUACGUAGAUAACAUGUUAAUUGUAGCUAAGAAUAUGGUUGAAAUUAAUGACUUGAAAUCUUUUUAUGAAAAGUAAGUUUGAGAUGAAGGAUUUAGGUAUAACAAAGAAUUAGUGGGUAUAGAGAUUCGAAGGGAUAUAAAGUAUGGAUGAUAUAAGUCUCUUAAGAAAGUUAUAUUGAGAAAGUUUUGAAAUCAUUCCAUAUUGAUCAGUCCAAAACUGUUGAAACUCUUUUAGCAGCAUACUUUAAACUUGAUUGGAGCACUAUACCAAUUAUAUAUAAGGAAAAUACAUACAUGAGUAGAGUUCCAUAUUCAAGUGUUAUUGGAAGUCUGAUGUAUUAUAUUGUGUUUAUGAUACCUGAUGUAACUCGUGUAAUUUAUGUGGUAAGUAGAUUUACAUGCAAUAUAGGAAAGGGUCAUUGGGAGCAGUCAGGUGGAUUAUACGAUACUUAAAGGGAACAACUAUGGUGCGAGUACAUAAAGUAAGGGUUGGUUGGCUAUGUGGACUCGGAGGACUACAAUGAUCGGGUGAAAAGAAGAUCAUUGACAUGUUAUAUAUUUAUUAAAUUCAAUUAUGUUAUAAGUUAAAAGUCAACACUAUACAUUGUUGCCUUGUCUACAACUAAAGAAAAAUGCAUGUCAACGAUUAACGGAAUAUACGAGGGUAUAUGGAUGCACGAUCCCAUUCGUAUAUAUUGUAUUGUGAAAGUCAGAGUACUUUGUGUCUUGCAAAAAAAAUCAAAUCAAUCACGAAAAGACAAGUCACAUUGAUGUUAGGCUGAAAUUCCAUUCAUGGUAUUGUAGAAGUAGAUAAGUUUUAUAUCCUAAACAUUGUCACAAAGGAAAAUUAAAAAGAUAUAUUGAUAAAGGAGUUACGAAAAGAGAAGUUCAAGAAAUUAAUGGAUUAGGUAGAUGUUCACAUGAAGUCGGGAAAUACAUCCCUUCAAGGAAACAUGACAAGAUGGAGCGAGAGUUGUUGGUUUGUUGAGUUUGAGUAUACUCAAGUUAAGAUGGAAAUUGUAAAUUUCACUUGAGAAUUCAAGGGCCGAAUGGCUAUCGACUCAAGAAAACUGUGGUUGUACUUUCUAAAAACAAAAGAUGAAGUCUUUGAACAGUUCAAGGAGUGGAAGAUUGUCGUUGAAAAACAGAUAGAUAAACAAGUCAAGACACUUAGAGCUGAUACUGUGUUAGAUUUUCCCAAUAAUUCAUUUAAUGACUUGUAUAAAAUAGGAAGGUAUGGUGAGGCACUACAUUAUUGGAAACACACCACAAGAAAAUGGAGUUGAUAGAACUGAUGAACCAAACAUUGUUGCAAUCAGCAAGAUGUAUAUGUUUAUUUGCUAAUAUACAUAAAGCAAUUACAAAUAGAAGAAAUUAGUACGUCUUGUUAUCUGUUGAAUAGAUCUCCAUCAAUCUGCAAUUGAAUUAAAGAUUCCUCAAGAGUUACGAUCCAUUGAACCCUCUGGUUGUUCUAUUUUAUUUAUAUUUGGUUCUCCAACUUAUGCUCAUGUUAAUGAUGGUAAUUGAAGUUGAGGGAUAUGAAGUGUAUAUUUAUUGUAUAUACAACUAGAGUGAAAGGUUAUUGAUUAUGGUGUACAGAAGAAGGAAACACUCUAGAAAGGAAUCAAAUAGCAUGAGGUUUUCUCACCUGUCAUGAAACAUAAUACAAUUCUGGUUAUAUUAUCCAUGAUGAAUGCACUUAAUCCAGAACUUAAGAAACUUGAUGUCAAAACUACAUUUCUUCAUGGUGAUCUAGCAUAAAAGAACUAUAUAUCCCAGCCAUAAGGUUUCCUUGACUCCAGAAAGAUCAUGUAUAUUUGUUAAAUAAAGCUAUAUAUGGUUGAAAGCAGGGUACAAAAUAGUGAUACAAGAAGUUUGAUUCGUUUAUGGUUUCCUAAGGCUAUGUUAGAAACCAGUUUGUCAAUUGUGUCUACUCAAAGCAACUAUCUGAUCGUUCCUAUAUGUAUUUGAUGUUAUACGUAGAUAACAUGUUAAUUGUAGCUAAGAAUAUGGUUGAAAUUAAUGACUUGAAAUCUUUUUAUGAAAAGUAAGUUUGAGAUGAAGGAUUUAGGUAUAACAAAGAAUUAGUGGGUAUAGAGAUUCAAAGGGAUAUAAAGUAUGGAUGAUAUAAGUCUCUUAAGAAAGUUAUAUUGAGAAAGUUUUGAAAUCAUUCCAUAUUGAUCAGUCCAAAACUGUUGAAACUCUUUUAGCAGCAUACUUUAAACUUGAUUGGAGCACUAUACCAAUUAUAUAUAAGGAAAAUACAUACAUGAGUAGAGUUCCAUAUUCAAGUGUUAUUGGAAGUCUGAUGUAUUAUAUUGUGUUUAUGAUACCUGAUGUAACUCGUGUAAUUUAUGUGGUAAGUAGAUUUACAUGCAAUAUAGGAAAGGGUCAUUGGGAGCAGUCAGGUGGAUUAUACGAUACUUAAAGGGAACAACUAUGGUGCGAGUACAUAAAGUAAGGGUUGGUUGGCUAUGUGGACUCGGAGGACUACAAUGAUCGGGUGAAAAGAAGAUCAUUGACAUGUUAUAUAUUUAUUAAAUUCAAUUAUGUUAUAAGUUAAAAGUCAACACUAUACAUUGUUGCCUUGUCUACAACUAAAGAAAAAUGCAUGUCAACGAUUAACGGAAUAUACGAGGGUAUAUGGAUGCACGAUCCCAUUCGUAUAUAUUGUAUUGUGAAAGUCAGAGUACUUUGUGUCUUGCAAAAAAAUCAAAUCAAUCACGAAAAGACAAGUCACAUUGAUGUUAGGCUGAAAUUCCAUUCAUGGUAUUGUAGAAGUAGAUAAGUUUUAUAUCCUAAACAUUGUCACAAAGGAUAAUUAAAAAGAUAUAUUGAUAAAGGAGUUACGAAAAGAGAAGUUCAAGAAAUUAUUGGAUUAGGUAGAUGUUCACAUGAAGUCGGGAAAUACAUCCCUUCAAGGAAACAUGACAAGAUGGAGCGAGAGUUGUUGGUUUGUUGAGUUUGAGUAUACUCAAGUUAAGAUGGAAAUUGUAAAUUUCACUUGAGAAUUCAAGGGCCGAAUGGCUAUCGACUCAAGAAAACUGUGGUUGUACUUUCUAAAAACAAAAGAUGAAGUCUUUGNGAGUAAAGUAAGAAACUUGACCCGAUAUCAACAUGAUAAGUGUUUGGUGUAGGUUGAGGCCCGACCCUACUCUAGUUAGGGUUAUGUUUUGUAAUUUGCUUUUAUAAUACAAAUGUUAGCUAUGGUUUCAAAUGUACUAUCAAUUUUCAAGCUCGUGAAUAGGAAUAUUCCAUCAUGUCAUGUGGAAAUAGGUCACAAUAUUCACUGAGCCGUGUUAGAAUUAUGUUCUAAUGUGUGAUUUAUUUUCUCAUUUUAUUUGUAACAACUAUCAUCAGAAUCAAGUCAAAAAAAUUAUAUUUUUUGUAACAAAUUCAGAAAAAAAAGAAGCUCUUAAAAUUGAACAAAUCAAAAGAACUAUAAUUUUGUGUGGAUUUUGUAAGUUUAUGAGAAUUAAAAUUUAUGUGCUAUGUUAUAUUCAUAUAACUAAUUUUCUUAACAACUAACUCACACACCCACUAACACGACUCUUAAAUCAACACCUUUGUCCAACAUGGAACUAGAACCCCAACCUAGGGGCACCUUUCGAACAUAUCAGUUUAACAUGACUUGAGAAUUGUUAACCUGAAUGGAUAUCGACUUGCAUCUGGCAAACUAAAGAAACCUACCACCAAAUAUAUUGACGAGAUAAGUGCUUAGAGUAGGCUAAAGUUUGUUAGGCAUGAAGUAAUAAACAAAAAUACCUAUCCUACAUGGUGCAUGGAAUCCUCCCUAUAUGGUAUGGACCUGCAUUUGCGUGGGAUCUAUGUAUCUGGAUGCAUCUGUGUUCAUGUUACGGUUACAUUUUGUACUUUGCUCAUAUAAUACGACUGAUAACCCUUGUUUCAAUUGCAUUGUACUAUCAUUUUCAAACUUGUGAAUAAGAAUACUCACUCCUGUCCUAUAAUAUAGAUCACAUUUAUUAGUCAUAUUAUUAUUGUUGUAUUGUCCUAGAUAUAUACAGCUCAUUUUGUAUUUGGAUCAUUUCCUUAUGUUCAUGUAUAUAUAUAUAUAUAUAUAUAUCUGNUAUAUAUAUAUAUAAUGCAUUGCACAUAAUCAAUCAAGAGAAGUCUCACGCUUUUAUGGUAUUAUAGCAAAGAAUUCUUUCCCCUUUUCCUCUCAUCAAAUCUCUCUGAAUAUUCUUCUCAAUCCCUCGAUUCUCUUUUUCCUUUUCCAUCAUGAUCCACCUUAGCCGUCCCUAGUUCACCAUCAUCUUCAACAUCUAUCAACAAGUCGAAAACCAACAACAAAAAGCAGAAAAAACCUUACCCUUCGCCAACACCAACAUUCGAGCCUAUGUUCUAAUCACUCUUGAUCUCGAGGAACUAAACUACAACGCCUGGAAAGAGCUUUUUCAAGCCUGCAACAUUACUUUUGGUGUUAAUCACCACUUGAUUAAUCCCACACCAAAGAAUUUUAUGAUGAUCGGUCCCAACUGGACACCCUCGACAACACCACUCUCUGCACCAUAUUUGACAAAAAUGGUAUCCACUUAUGUUUCCCGUGUCCAAAAGCAUCCCAGCAAAAUGGAAAUCCGAACGUAUGCUCCGGACUAUAAAUAACCUCAUCCACUCCAUUCUAUUCCAAUCUCAUCUCCUGCCAACAUAUUGGGUGGAGACUCUCCACAUGGCCAUACAUCUCCUUAAUCGCCUUCCAUCGAAAUCCAUUGAAAAUCAUACCCCUUACUUUAAACUCUAUCAAAAAACCCCACAUAUUAGCACCACGCUCCACUCCUUUCAUCUUCCUUGGAUACAACGAUAACCAUUGAGGUUUUUGAUGCCUUGAUCUUCACACUAAAAAUAUCAUUAUCUCGGCACGACAUAUUUGAUGAACGUGUUUUCCCUUAUGCAUCCAUGACACGUAAUGCUCCACCUUCCUAUCAUUUUCUCAAUAUUUUUGAUCCACGCAAUUAUAUGGCAUCUCGGCUCCUUAUGUCUAAUCCAUCAACCACCACCUCUCACAUACCAACUCCUAUCACCAGGCAAUUGUCACCCAUCAUACCUACAUCAACAUCUCCAUCAUCACCCACUUCUGUCACUUUUUUCGCCCGAUCCAACCUCUGCUCCAACUAGUCACUCUACUCUGGAAGCACCUAUGGUGACAACCCCCACUAUCUCGGUUCCCCCACCACUUUCAUCAACCCCUCUAUUCAUAAGCCUUCAACUCAUCUUAUGCAUACUCGAGAUCGGAGUGGUAUUUACAAACCCGUUAACCGUUUAAACCAUCACACUUCCGCUCUCUCUACAAUUCUAAAAUCUCAUAUCCAAUCCCUUCAAGACCCUAACUGGAAAUCCGCUAUGCAUGGAGAAUAUAGGGAUCUUAUUAAAAAUAGGACUUGGGUUCUUGUAGCGCCUCGUACAGGGUCAAUGUGGUGUGCUCUAAGUGACUUUACAAACACAAAUUUAAUGCUGAUGGUUCCCUUAGCAGGUAUAAAGCAUGACUUGUUGCUAAUGAUAAAAACCAACAGCUAGGCAUCGAUUGCAAGGAAACUUUCAUCCAGGUUGUCAAACCAGCCACCAUACGUACUGUGCUCAUCCUGGCUGUCUCCAGAAACUGGCCCGUACAUCAGCUUGAUGUAAAAAAUGAUUUUCUUCAUGUUCAUUUCGCAGAAACAAUUUAUAUGUACCUGCCUCUCGGUUUCACAGACAAAUUGAAAACAACUCAUGUUUGUUGCUUAAAAAAGUCCCUUUUACGGCCUGAAACAUGCUCCCCACGCUUGGUUUCAACGUUUUGCAUCACACGCCAUGAGUCUUGGGUUUCAACAUAACAGAUUUGAUUCAUCUUUAUUCAUUCUGCACCAUGACAAUUACAUGGCGUACUUACUGAUUUAUGUCGAAGAUAUUAUUUUAACAGCUUCCACCCCCACCCCAUCUGCUCUGCCACAUCAUCACCACUCUCGGUAAAGAAUUCUCCAUGAGCGACUUGGGGGACUUGAACUGCUUUUUGGGGAUUUUUUUCACAAAAUCAUCGUGAGGCAUGUUCUUCUUUCAAUAGAAAUAUGCCUCUGAGAUUCUUCAGCGAGCCAUCAUGAUUGACGCCAACUCUAGUCGUACCCCUUUGGAUCUAUUAGCAAAACUAGGGAAUGGUGGCACGCCUGUUUCAGAUCCUUCAUUAUACCACCACCUUGCGGGGGCACUCCAGUAUCUUACAUUUACUCACCCCGACAUUUCAUUUGCUGUCCAACAGAUCUGCCUAUACAUGCACGAACCACAGAGAGCCACACUUCCACGCUUUCAAAUGCAUUUUGAGGUAUAUUUGGGGAACUCUUGAUCAUGAACUCCAAUUGUACUCCUCACCCUCCAUGGCUUUCACUGCUUAUUCUGAUGCAGAUUGUGCCCUGUCACUCGCCGGUCCACCUCAUGAUUUUUUGUCUUUCUCGGCGAUAACCUCAUCUCUUGGUCGUCCAAACAAGAACACAAUGUGUCCCGGUCCAGUGCAGAGGUCGAAUAUCGUGGUGUCCCCAAUGCCUUCGCUGAGAUAUCUUGGUUAAACAACUUGUUAUGUGAGCUUCACUUACCUCAGCGAUCAUCUACUCUCAUCUAUUGUGAUAAUGUGAGUGUCAUUGACAUGUCGGCCAACCCCGUUCAACAUCAACGAACCAAACACAUAAAUAUUGAUAUUCAUUUUGUUCGCGACAGAGUUAUGUCCCUUCGAGAUAUCAGUUUGUUGACAUCUUCACCAAAGGACUCCCAUUUCUGUUGUAUGGUUUGUUCUCGUGUAUUCCUAACAAUACGCCAUUAAAACGACGCAGAAAAAAUUGAAAAGAUUCAUCCACUUAACUUUUGAAAAAGACAUAAAAGCCAAUUCAUUUGGGAUCCUUGAAAUCCACUCUUUUUCCUAUUCAAAUCUCACCACUUUGUCUUGUGGUUUCAAUGUUGAACUUUUUGAAAAUGUUGCAAUGUCAAAGGUCUUUCACUCAAACGCCUUGAUCUGCUUAACCUUUAUUAAAAUGCUUUAAAUUAUAUCCCCAUUUUGUUUAAGAAAUAUUUGAAAGGUGUGUAACUAUCAAUCAUGUUAACGAGAAGUGAAUUGGUCUAGUUUACAGGAAUAAAAAUAGAUGAAGCAAUAUAUCUGUAAGGGAGCAAGAGUCCAGAACAAAACACAGAGUAAAUGAACAGAGAAUCAUACCAUGGAUUUCCCCAUUUGACUGGAAGAGAAACAUUGGCAUCUUUCUACCGAAUAUGGUCAUGCUUGCAGGGUGCAAUGUAUUACUGGUUUUCUCCUGUAAAACUAGUAUAGAUUCGAGUCCGACCAUAACCUCAGCCAUUGUAGGACGUUGCUUUGGAUGGCUAUUUAAACACCGUUCUGCAAGCCUUGAGAACUCCUUUAAACCUUUAGUCGAUAUUCUCUCCCUUAUAUUAGGAUCAACAAUUUGCUUUAACCUUCCUUCUUUCAUUGAUUCUUGAGCCCAUCUUGCUAAACCCCAGUGAUCCUCAUCAAGACUUUCAUCCACUGCUCGUUUCCCACAAAGUACUUCAAACAUUACUACACCAAACGCAUACACAUCGGAUUUUCUUGUCAACCUACCAGUUGAGAAGUAAUCUGGAUCUAGAUAUCCGAAUGUUCCUUUCACAACAGUGCUUACGUGUGUGAACUGUUGAUUUGUUGGACCUACCUUGGACAAUCCAAAGUCAGAAAUCUUAGCUGCCCAUGUUUUAUGUAACAAUAUAUUUGAGCUUUUCACAUCACGGUGUAUAACUCCAUGCUUAAUUCCUGUACCAGUGUGAAGAUAAUUUAACCCACGAGCUGCCCCUAUGCAUAUAUUGAGUCGCAGCAUCCAAGGUAGAGGAGUUUGAAGUUUGUGGAGAUGAUCUUCAAGGGUUCCAUGGGGCAUAUAAUCAUAAACAAGGAUUCUUUCACUCCCAUCAGUGCAAUAACCAAUCAAAGACACCAAGUGACAGUGCCUUAACUUAGAAAGCAUCUCAACUUCU